This 66239-nucleotide long non-coding RNA is filed under the name Citrus maxima (pomelo). Its description in RNAcentral is "long non-coding RNA (CMAX_LNC003928)". Lineage: Eukaryota; Viridiplantae; Streptophyta; Magnoliopsida; Sapindales; Rutaceae. The record is from RNAcentral.
CGUUUAUGGAGCAAGACUUGAAGAUGGGAUGAAGAUUGCAAUAAAAGUGUUUCACCGGCAAUGUGCAAGCGCAUUGAAGAGUUUUGAGGCUGAAUGUGAAGUGUUAAAAAAAAUUCGCCAUCGAAACCUUAUCAAAGUUAUCAGCAGUUGCUCGAACGAUGACUUCAAAGCAUUAGUCCUAGAAUACAUGUCCAACGGGAGCUUAGGGGAUUGGCUGCAUUCGAGCAAUUACGUGCUGAAUAUUUUUCAAAGGUUGAACAUAAUGAUUGACGUUGCAUCAGCUUUAGAAUACCUCCACUUCGAUCAUUCAACUCCUAUUAUUCAUUGUGACUUAAAGCCUAGUAAUGUAUUGUUGGACGAAAAUAUGGUUGCUCAUUUGAGUGAUUUUGGCAUAGCAAAGCUUUUAAGUGGAGAAGAUGAGUCUACGAUGCGAACAAAAACCCUUGCCACUAUAGGUUAUAUGGCACCAGGUUUGCUUCAAACAACUUUUUUUUUUAAGUUCAUUUUAAAUUUUCUAAAUCAUUGAUUUUUACGAUCCUCAUAUCAAAUUGUUAUUGAUUAUUUAUCUAAUUGUGAAAUUAAUUUGAUUCAUAGAGUAUGGCAUAGGAGGAGAAGUAUCUACAAAAAGCGAUGUUUACAGCUACGGGAUUAUGUUGAUGGAAACUUUUACCAAGAAAAAACCCACAGAUGAAAUUUUUGUUGGAGAAUUGAGCUUAAAGCAUUGGGUUAAUGACUUGCUUCCUAAUUCAUUAGUGGAAGUUGUGGACAAAACUCUGCUAAGUGGAGAGGAAAAACAUUUUGCAUCAAAGGGGCAAUGUCUGUUGUCUAUCUUUAGUUUGGCUCUGGAGUGUACAAUGGAAUCACCGGAAAAGAGGAUUAAUGCAAAAGAUAUUGUUACCGGAUUACUCAAGAUAAGAGACACAUUGAGUAAAAGGAUAGGAAAUUUAAGUUAAUUUCGUUUGCUUUCAUUGAUAGUUAAUUCGAAUUCAUGUAAUAAGUGCAAGAAUCUUAUAUCUUUUCCUUUGAUAUAUUCUUUUUCUUGAGAAAACUGUUGUAGUCAUCUUGUUUCCAUGGGAAGAGUUGAUUUAGUUCUUCCAAAAAAUGCUACUGAUGACCUUUGUUUAAUACUUUCUCUUUUUUUGCACGUGUUUAGGUAGAACAGUGGUUUGGCUGCAGGCUAAUAAGUCAAGCUACGCCAAAAGCGUAUGAUUUAAUUUAUUAAACAUAACUUCAAGUUCAAGAAGUGUUUCUCAUUGCCACCAAUGCUUUGGACACCUGUUGGAAGGUUUGUUGUCCUCAGCUUUUGUUUAGAGCAAAAGUUCGAGUCCCAUAAAGGCUCAAACAUUCCUUUCCUUCAUCCCGAGGGCGCCUUCUGUCCUCUGUUUUCUGUUUCCACACACAAAUAGCAAAAAGAAAUUAGAAUGACAACUGGGACAUAUAUAAGAGUGAAAUAAUUAAAAAAAUUAUGCUUUUUUGUCUGUCGUGUUAAAAUCGUAAGUACCGAAGUACUGUGAAAGAGAUUAAUUUACAGAAACUGAAGCCAAGGGUUCAAAAAAAAACUAUUGAUGUAGCUAGGAUGCAAUGUCAUAUUCAUACAGAGAUGAAGUAUAUUAUUUACGGCUGGUAAAGACUAGGAAUUGAUGUAGCUAGAAUCCAAAGAUGAUAAGGUAUGUUGUGCACUAUUGUUUUAUUCUACGGUCAAUCUUGACCCUUGGUGCUUGGCUCUCAAUCUUGUCCAUUGAUCUUCUCUGAUCUUGGAAACUUCAAGACCUUUCACUCUCAUGCCUUAUUAUUGGUGUCUUCCAUGCUGUAGCUUUCAAAUACAAGCUUUCCCGCCAACUUGCCAAUUAUUUGUCCGUUGGUGCAUUUUAUCAAACAGUUUGGAUACUUAUACCAAACGCCUUCUGUUUUAACUCCCCCCCUCAAGCUCAAGCAUCUGGGAAGACAUUAAUAAGCUUGUUUCUCAAGUAUAUAUAUCUGAAAAUUAAAUUUUAUAAAUUAUAUUCGGACUCUACAUUUUCUAAUGAACAUUGGUUUGGCUUAUAAGCUUAUUAUACUCAGGUUUGGUAGGAGCCAUAUCACAAUGUUAACGCUAACCAGCAGUACUGCCAAAGCUGGCCAACUCAGCCUGCAAGUUCAUAGCAACCAUAGUUACAGUCCUAGUCCGGUACAAAAAUCGUAAAUAUCAUUUACAUUACAAUGGUGUGGGGGGGGGGGGGGGGGUUUGUUGGGUGGCUGGAGAGGGAAUCAACAAAGAUCUAGAACGAAGGGUAGGCUUGUAUCCGUAACCCAUGUCACAGUGUUAAUGCUAACCGUGGACCUUAUUAUAUUAGUUGCUGGACUAUUAUUACUUUUGAAUUGCCAUCUUUGAAUUUACGUUCAUUUCUGCCUCGACAAGAUGUUUGUAAAAAUAUGCUAAUUAUUAAUGUGCCGUGUACAAAUAAGCAUGUUACUGUGCAAGGAUUGUAGUCAUGAUACAGUGGUGCAAAAUGUACAUGCUACUUCUUCUUUUCCUCAGUUAGGAUCACCGUCGUCACCAUUUAAUUCUAAGUCCACCCAUGCGGCCUAUGCAAUUGAAAUCAUGUGACCAUGUAAUUUUAGGUUCUGAUCUUCCUUGUGGGGUUAAACCUCAAAACUGUGACCAUUUUGGGACUUUUAAUCAGUUCCAAUCAUUUUCUGGUUCCCAUUCGUCCACCCAAGCCUUGAUUCCCCCGAUAUAGCAUUGCAAUAUAUAUAGGAAUAUUAAGGUUGUGUACAGUUUUUUUCUUUUCUGUUUUUAAUUUGAUAUAAAUUAUCAAUCAUGAAUCUACAUAAAGUUUCAACUAGGCUACUACCACAAUAAACAUUUGGAUGAACUAUUAUUGAAACCUUAUUGAGAAGUAGGACAUGUCGCAUACCAAUGCACUGACAUAUCUUCAAAUAGUGGUAACUCCACACAACAUGGCACAAUAAAUUAAGAGUUAUAUAGAUAAAAUCUUUCACUCUUUGGUAAUCAUCAAUGUCGGCAUGACAAUGCGUCCCACAAAUAUGGCUCCUUAUCAAAAUUCAUAAAUCAAAACAAAAAUAGAGAAUCAUAUUUGUUCUAGAUUGUAGUGAUGGUUGUUGAUGCACUCACAAUUUACAAUUUUAUUUAAUAUCUUCAAAUUCGCAUUUUAAAAUGCCCAAAUGUUUGUGUAUACAUAAUUAGUAAUCGAUUCUCAAGCAUGGCCAUUUAAAAGCAUUGCUGAAAGACAAAAUUUUAAUUUACUAUUUUUUGUCUUUUAAUUUUCUUUAAGUUUUUAAUGAUUCCGCAUUUUAAAAUCCUGUGGAACGUGUAUGUAAAAUUCUUUUAUCUUUUAGAGGAAAAUGGGCAAGAGAAGAAGAUUUGGCAAAGGAAUUGCAACCGCAUUUGGAGCUAGUUUUAAUUUUGUCUUUUAAUUCUUUUACACUUGGCUUUUGUUAUUGAUGUCAACUUCGAUGUGUGUGAAGACUCGAGCUCACUCCCUUAUGAGCUAGUUUUAUUUUUCUACUUUCACAUUAAGAAAAAUACUCCUAUUUUUAAGGAAAAGUCAAGUACCUGUAGUUGUGAAGACUCGAGCUCACUCCCUUAUGAUAAAUCUUCAUAUUAAUUACGUAAAUAUCCUCUAAAAUUUUAAAUUAGCUAUUCAAAAUUUGAUGUUAUACGGGUAUUUCAUUUAUUUGAGUAGGGGUUGGGGGUCAAUUGGAUACAAAUUCAAAAUUAUCCUUACUUGAGAUGGUGAUAAAAAUUGGGGAUUUAAUUUGGAUGUCAUUAGCUACAAAUAUUAAACUCAUACAUUUAAUUCAAAAUUGGAAAGCUGAUAUAUGCGCAUCAUCCCACAACCUCUCCAAUGAAAAAUUAACACGUUUCUUGUGUGCAUUUGAUCAGAAUCCUGAAAAUUAAUCACAAAAUUGUCCUGGAAAAAAAAAUGCUUACAUAAAUGGUUUGAAAAAUCUAGAUUUCAAGUUGUCUAUAUUAGCUUGAUAUUUUUAUAAAUAGUCAUCCUCUCAAAAAAAUUCCAUCAAAAUAUAUUUUAAUUUUAUGUUAAUUCAUAAACAUGAAAAAAUCAUUUCAGAAUUAAUUAAAACAUAAUUUAUUGUUUCUCAAAAAAGGUAGAACUUAGUGAUAAGAAAAAAGUAUCUCAAAUAUAUGUAAAAAAAAAAAAAUCUUGGUUAGUUGGAAUGAUUGAAUUUGUUUUUUUUUUCUUUUUUAAGAAUUAAGACAAUCGGAUUGAUUGAGUAAUAAUAAUAUAUAUUUAUUUGGCAAAUGGCAGGUAGGCUUUCGUCUCAUGCAGAUUGAUUAGAGAGAAAAUAUAACAAUUUUAAGCUCGUCAGAUUCGAAGCUGCUUUCCUGUCGUGUGGGGAUCACUUCCGUGUCUUAUUUUUCUAGAAAAAUCAGGACCAUUGGAUUUAUGCGAAUCGUACUGAACAUUGGAAUUGAUGUAUAAGAAAAAAAUUCUGUAGUUUAAGAAGAACAAAAAGGCAUGUUGAAUAGAUUACAAUAGUUUAAGGAAAAAAAUUAUUCAAUUGGGAAUUUUUUUUUCUUUAAUUUUUGUUGUACUUGAUUGAGAUUUCUCCUUAGUCCUUAGAGUUUUAAGUUUGGAAACCGUAGGAUCAGUAAUUUCGUACUUCCUUUGCAAGCUGAGUAUAAGGAUGAAAUUCUUUUAAGAAAUUAAAAAAGAUAAAAAAAAAGCAUACCAAUAGGUAAUUAUAAAUAACCACAAAUAAAUAUAAACAAAAUGUUUAUGAAGUAAAUUAAACAUGCUCAUAUUAUUUUCUUUUAUUUUCUGCUUGGAAACCCAUAAAUACACUAAUCCAGUAUUACUAAUUUCAGACAGAAAAUUUUGAAUUUAACCAGUAUACACUAAUCCAGUAUUAUUUUUAUUAUUAUUUUAAUUUGUUUAUAAAUUACUAUUUUAAUUUGUUUAUAAAUUACUAUUUUAAUUUUCACUUUUUAUUGGGUUGUUUAACGGAUUAGUGAAGCUGGUGGUCGUUGAUGCACUCACAAGGUACAAUUUUAUUUUAGAAUUUCAAAUUCGUAAUUUAAAAUGCAGGCACAUUAUGUAUACAUAAUUAUUGAUUUUCAUAUGUGGGUGUUUUGAAAUAUUGCCAAAAGACCAAACUUUAAUAAACUAUUUUUGAUCUUUUUUUUUCCUUUGUACCUAAAGUUUGAGUGAUAUCCGCAUUUUAAAUUCAUGUGGACCAAAAGCUAAUGUAUGCACAAAAUUCUUUUAAUUUUUUCCGAGAAAAAUGGGUAAGAGAAGAAGAUUUUUCUCUUGAAAAAGAAAAAAUAAUACGUUGCAAGCAUAGGAAAGAGGCCAGUGUUUUGGAUUUGAAUUUAGUAUUGGGUUGAAUUUUAUGCUAAGCUCUUUUAUAAUACUUUAUAGAAUAAAAAUGUAAGGGAUAUUUGGCUAGGCAUGUACUUUAUAGAAUAAAAAUGUAAUAAUGUAAGUCAGUGCAAUGAUCUGCUGUCAUAGUAGUUAUAAAUAUUUAUGUGUAAUACAGUAACAUGAUGCUUAAUCAGUUAAAAAAAAAUUGUAUAUCUUUUUUUAUUUUUUUUAUUGUGAUCAAUAUAACUAGUCAAAUUUAUUUUUAAAUAUUUUUUUAAAAAUAUUUUUAUCGUGUGUUUGCUCCAUUACAGGGUUUCUUCAAUUUAAAAUAGAGAAUCAUUUGUGUUCUAGAUUAAUCGUGGGUCUAUAUCCAAAUCCAAAAAUUGACUAACUUGAUUUCUAUUAAGUUCUCAACCCUAACAAGAAAAAUAAAAGAGUAAAAAUGACUAUUUUGGUUUCUAUUAAUUUGAGUAACGCUUAAUAUUUAUCAUACAAUAGUCACUUAUAUUAUCAAAAUCUUGGGUCGAAAAUAUUAGGAUAGGUGAUAAUUGGAAUUAAGUUGUAGAUAAGAUAGCCUUUCAAAAAAAAGAAAAGAAAAAAAGUUGUAGAUAAGAUAGAAAUGGAUUUGGAGAGAGAUUGGAAUCCUGGCUAAUCCGGUGCACGUUGUUGCGUUAAAUUCUCGUUGACUUCACGUUGACCGAAGCAUUAUUGGAAGAAACAAGCAAGCUUAUUUUCUUCUCUCAUUUUUUACUUUUGUCUAAAUUUAUUGAUGUGAGCCCUCUGAGAUGGUAAAGUGUUAAAUCUGAGAAGAGUACCCACACACCCAUUUGUUGGAGGAUUAACAAUUAAAACACACUAUUUUAUUUCUUCAACAACACUCCUCACCAAUUACAACUCUUAUUUUUCACUCUCUACACCUUAGAGAUUUUGCUGCUUCACUUGAUGUUUAAACCAAAAGGGAGAGGGGGUAUUUAUAUAUGAAACAAACUAAUCACAACCAUUCAUUUAUUCAACUAAUAAACACAUCCUCACCAUCCAUUAAAACCUACCACUCACCUACUUCACCAACCACACCUAACACACCUAACACAAAUAAUUCAAACCUCACCAACCAUACCUACUCAUGGAACCUUCCAUGAGUUGGGCUUGAUUUAUUCAUCUUGGAUCAAGUUUAUGAUCCAACACCUCUCCUUAAACUUGAUCCUGUGACACCAAGCAAACUUCUGAAUCUUACAAAGUCUUCUUGUUUGAGUGGUUUAGUGAAGAUAUCAGCUGCUUGAUCUUGUGAUUUUACAUACUUGAUUUGCACUUCUUUUCUUGCAAUACACUCUCUUAUGAAAUGAUAGCGAGUGGCUAUGUGUUUACUUCGAUCAUGAAAGACUGGAUUCUUGGAUAGGGCAAUUGCUGAUUUGUUAUCAACACAAAUCUCAGUUGGCUCUUCUUGUGCCAAACUCAACUCCUUUAGCAAAUUUCUGAGCCAAAUUGCAUGACAAACACUUGAUGUGGCAGCUACAUAUUCAGCUUCACAGGUGGAUAGCGUGACAAUUGGUUGCUUCUUUGACAUCCAUGUGAAAGCAGUAUCUCCUAUGAAGAACACAAAUCCUGUGGUGUUAUUUCGAUCAUCUACAUCUCCACCCCAAUCGCUAUCGCUAUAUCCAACAAGCUUGUAGUCAUUAGAAAAUGAGUAUAGCAAGCCGAAAUUAGUUGUACCUUUGAUGUAGCGAAGGAUUCUUUUUGCAGCUUUAAAAUGGGUGGUCUUUGGAUUCUCCAUGUAUCGGCUCACAAGUCCAACAACAUAAAGGAUAUCUGGUCUUGUGCAUGUCAAAUAACGUAGGCUUCCAACCAAACUUUUAAAGAAUGUUGGAUCUAUAUCUUCGCCUUCAUCAUGUUUGGAUAACUUGACUCCGCAUUCCACUGGCGUGCUUAUAGGCUUACAAUCAUUCAUCUUGAACUUCUUGAGAAUCUCCUCUGCAUAGCUUUCUUGGGAGAUAAAUAUGCUUUCUUCCUUUUGCUUGACUUCAAUGCCGAGGUAAUAUGCCAUCAGUCCGAUGUCAGUCAUCUCGAACUCUUUGAUCAUCACUCUCUUGAACUCUUCAAACAAGCCUGGAUUACUUCCAGUGAAAAUGAGAUCAUCCACAUACAGGCACACAAUCAAAAUAUCUCCAUAUUUUUCUUUGACGUAGAGAGCAUGUUCAUAUGGGCAUUUGGUGAAGCCUUUCUCUUGAAAAUACUUGUCAAUUCUGCUAUUCCAUGCCCUUGGUGCUUGCUUUAACCCAUAAAGAGCUUUCUUCAAUCUCAAAACUUUGUCCUCGUGUCCUUUCACCACAUAGCCUAAUGGUUGUUCGAUGUAAACUUCUUCUUCAAGGAAUCCAUUCAAGAAAGCAGACUUCACAUCCAUUUGAAAAAUCUUCCAUUUGUUCUGAGCAGCCAAAGAAAUAAUAAGUCUAAUAGUUUUAAGUCGAGCUACAGGAGCAAAUACCUCGUCAUAGUCUAUGCCAGCCUUUUGACUAUAGCCUUUUGCAACUAGCCUCGCCUUGUGCCUUUCAAUUUCUCCCUUCGCAUUUCUUUUUGUUUUAUACACCCAUUUGACACCGAUCGCCUUGUGACCUUUUGGAAGAGUAGUAAGCUCCCAAGUAUCAUUCUUCACAAUGGCUUUGAUUUCUUCAUCCAUUGCAAUUCUCCACUUCUCAUCUAGUGCAGCUUCUUGGAAGUUGACUGGCUCACAAUCAGCAAAGAGGCAAAAGAGAGUGAGAUUAUCAUGUCUCUCAGUUACCUCAUAGAGAUCUUGAAGACUCCUUGCACGUUCUUCGGUUCUUUCAUUUAAGAAAGACGGCGGUGAAUCUCCGCAUGUGGUUGGUGCUGGUGAGAUAGGUGGAGUGGCAGGCUCUUGUUGUUCGUCUACUUGUUUUACCUGUGUAUGAUCAUCUUCUUCAAUGGGAAAGAAGUUGAAGUCAUCCACACCAGAGCCAAAAUCUCAUUCUCCUUCUUCAUCAAAAAUUACAUCUCGACUGAUCACAAUCUUUCCGUUGUUUGGAUUGUAAAGCUUGUAUCCUUUGGAGUUGUUGUCGUAGCCGAUGAAGAUGAACAACUCACUUUUGUCAUCCAGCUUGGCUCUACUUUCGUCUGGUACAUGUACAUGGGCAAUGCUUCCGAAAACUCUUAGAUGGGUGAUGCCAGGUUUUCUUCCACUCCAAGCUUCUUGUGGCGUCUUGCCCCACACGCUUCUUGUUGGAGAUCGAUUGGAUAAGUAGAUUGCACAUGCAACUGCUUCAGCCCAAAAUUCUUUAGGUAGCCUCUUACUCUUAAGCAUGCUUCUUGCCAUGUCGAGGAUGGUUCUGUUCUUCCUUUCUGCAACACCAUUUUGUUGGGGGGAUCUUGGAACUGUCAAAGGGCGUCGAAUUCCAUUUGCUUCACAAAACUCUAAAAAUUCUUUGGAAGUGAACUCUCCACCUCGAUCAGAUCUCAUGGCUUUAAUCUGGUAUCCACUUUCUUUUUCAACUGCAGCUUUAAACUUCUUGAAAGCUUCAAAGACUUCUGAUUUUUGCUUCAAAAAAUACACCCAAGUUUUUCUUGAAAAAUCAUCUAUAAAAAGAAUGAAGUAGUUACUUUUACCAAGGGAGUUUGGCUUGAAUGGACCGCACACAUCAGUAUGAAUGAGCUCGAGUGGCUUCUGAGCUCUUGAGUUUGACUCCUUUGGAAAGCUCUUUCUGAACUGCUUGCCAAGUAAACAUCCUUCACAAAGUUGAUCAGGGUGAUUGAUGUAUGGUAAGCCUUUCACCAUGUUCUUCUUAGAGAGUAGCUCCAGUCCUCUAAAGUUGAGAUGCUCAUAUCGAAGAUGCCAAGUCCAGGAUUGAUCUUUGUGACAGGCUUUGAGACAUUUUGCAACAUCAUUUUGAAUAUUUAAAGGAAACAUUCUAUUCUUUGACAUUCUCACUUUUGUAUUUAGAUUUCCUUUUUCAUCUCUUAGAAAAAGACUAUAAUCUUUUAAGUGAAUAUCAUAGCCCUUUUUCUAAAAGUUGACCUAAACUAAGAAUGUUGCUUUUCAUAUUGGACACAUAGUAAACAUUCGAAAUUAUUUGGUGGCUACCAUCUUUUGCACGAAAAAGAAUGUUACCUCUACCCUUCACUGGUACUUUUGAAUCAUCUCCAAAAGUGACACUGCCAUUCACAAAUUCACUUAGUUGCACGAACAUGCUUCUGUUUCCACUCAUAUGAUUGCUAGCACCUGUGUCAAGAUACCAUGUAUUUUCUUGACCUCCAUUUGUGUCAUUGCGUGCUAGUAAAAGUGUGUCAUCUUCACCAUUUUUCUCUUCAGCAUAGUUCACUCUCUCUUUAAUUCUGGUGCUUGGAGCUCUGCAUUCUGAAGCAUAAUGCCCAAACUUUUGACAAUUAUAGCACUGUACUUGGGAUUUGUCAUACCUCGAUCUUGAAUUGCCUCUGCCUUGUUCUCUGGUUGAGCUUUCUCCUUUGGCAUAAUUGGAGUUGUUGUUGUUGAAAUUCCAACCUCGUCCAUGACCACGACCUCUACCUCGUCCUCGACCUCUACCUCGGACAUAGUGCCUUCUCUCAUUGUCGGAGCUUUCUUCUCUUUUCUUUGGAUUGACUUCCAUCUUGAGAAGUUGUUCUUCGAUUCCUUGCUUCUUUUUUUGUUUUUCUUCAUAGGCUUGCAACCUUCCUUGAAGUUGCUCGAUCGUCAUAUCCUCCAGAUCUCUUGUUUCUUCAAUUGUCAUAACAAUAUGAUCAAACUUCGAGUCUACUGAUCGAAGUAUCUUUUCAAUGAUCCUUACCUCUUUUAACUCCUCGCCAUUUCUUUUUAAUUCAUUGGAAACGGUCACAACUCGAGUAAAGUAGUCAGAAAUUGACUCCGACACCUUCAUGUGUAAGGACUCAAAUUCUCCUCGUAAUGUUUGGAGACGAACCUUCUUAACUUGCUCUGCUCCUUUGUAAGAGGUCUUUAGUUUCUCCCAUGCUUCUUUUGAGGAGGUUGUACCAGCAAUCUUUUCAAAAGCAUCUUCAUCUAAUGAUUGAAAGAUGAGAUACUUUGCUUUAUUCUCUUUCUUCUUCAAGUCUUUUAAAUUCUCCUUCUGCGCCGCAGUUAAAGUGGCUUCAUUUUCUGGCACAAUAAAGCCUUUCUCCACGACAUCCCAUACGUCAUGUGCACUCAAUAGAGCCUUCAUUUUAAUACUCCAAUUGUCAAACUUACUUCCUUUUAAUUGUGGAACUUGAAAUGACAUCAUCAUACCACCGUUUGCCAUAACUCACAAAUUGAGUGAGAAUUUGGAGAUUCUGAAUGCACAGAUGGAUCCGGCACGUCGAAAAACCUUGGGAAGGACUCGAGUCAACUUUCGGUCAACGGUCAACGUCGGUCAACGGUCAACACCGGCUUGGUAGUCUCGGUUCGGUCCGGAUUGGUUCAGCUCGAGUUGGCUCGGUUCGACUUGAUUCGGUUCAGCUCGGCUCGGCUUGGUUCAGUUCGGCUCAGCUUGGUUCAACUCGGUGAGUCGACUCAGCUUCAGGACAUAAAACUUCCGGCGGCAGGUGUGGGCGCGUACGGUCUCGGAUCGGGAUGAUUUUUGCGGCGUCACGUUCCUCUCGUCGAGAUCUUCGAUUUGAUAUGCUAUAUGACUAUAUAUAGCAUCAAACACUAGCUCUGAUACCACUUUGUUGGAGGAUUAACAAUUAAAACACACAAAAAACACACUAUUUUAUUUCUUCAACAACACUCCUCACCAAUUACAACUCUUAUUUUUCACUCUCUACACCUUAGAGAUUUUGCUGCUUCACUUGAUGUUUAAACCAAAGGGGAGAGGGGGUAUUUAUACAUGAAACAAACUAAUCACAACCAUUAAUUUAUUCAACUAAUAAACACAUCCUCACCAUCCAUUAAAACCUACUACUCACCUACUUCACCAACCACACCUAACACACCUAACACAAAUAAUUCAAACCUCACCAACCAUACCUACUCAUGGAACCUUCCAUGAGUUGGGCUUGAUUUAUUCAUCUUGGAUCAAGUUUAUGAUCCAACACCAUUAUCCUAUUACUCUUAUUUUAUCACAUGCAGAGACGUCAACGUUUGAUUCGCACGGAAAAAAAUUUGCGAGGAUUGUGAGGGUUGAUUCAAUAUAAUUUAGAUGCAAAGUGUUUACAAGUGCGAUGCUUCGUAAGUGCACCCGAAUCAUUAUAAACUCACCUUAUUUUCAUAGUGAUUAUUUCAUCUGCAUGUGAAUAUAAUCAUAUGUGGAGAUUUUUUUUUUCCCUAAACGAUGAUCUUCUCUAGUAUUGAGGUGUUAUAUCUUUUAAAUUAUAAUUAUUAUUAGUAAAAAACUGCAACUAUGAAAAAUAAAUUUAAUAUUAUGUCCUGAAUAUAAUUGUUAAAUAAUAAUUUUGACAAAAUUAAUGAAUAUAUACAGAUUUUUUUAUCAUAUAAAUGUAAAAUUAUAUCAACUUAGCUUCUAAGCUAUACAACGGUUACUAUUUACUAAAUACUUUAGUGUCGUAGUUUUUAAGAUAUAUUUAUCCACCCUCAAUCCCAAACAUAACCUGUAAGGAUAAAAAAUUUCAUCCUAAAAAUUAUACGUCUUGUGACUUAUUUAAUUUAUAUUUUUGUUAUUUAUAUUUAUUAAUUAUAGUCAUCUUUUAAUAAAUUACAAUUGAAGGAAGGUGGUUGAUGUUGUCGAGACACACACACAAAGAUAUAUUGGAAGUGCUUAUGUCCACUCGAAGUUGUGGGGAGUUAAUGCAUGUAUUGAUUUAUUGGGAGUGUUAAUGCAUGUAUUGAUUGAUUGAGUGAUUGAAUACUGUUUGAUUGCUUCAUAUCAAUUCUAGAAAGUUUAUUUCUUUGUGAAAUUUCAACGAAACGUGUUUUUUAGAAUAAUAAGGGUGUUUUAAGUAAUUUUAAAAAAUGAAUGGACUAAUUAGAAUUAAUUAUUAGGUAAUUAACUCGAAUUGUAGAGGGUAAGCAAACAUUUAUCCUAAUUAUAUUAUGAUAAAUCCUUUUCCAAUUAGAAUUAGGAAACCAUAGAUAUACUGAAUUUUUUUUUAUUUCCCUUCGCGAAAACGGAUCAGAGAAUUAGAAAACAAUCCUAGUGAUACUAUUGUUAGGUUUAAAACACUGCAUAGAUGGUAAAAACAUUGGAAUUGAUGUAGAUUAAUUUGUUAAUUGCUAUCGUACUGAACAUUGUUUUAUGCAAAUUAAUUUGAGAAUUAGAAAAAAGUUUGUUGCAUGCAAACUUUUUGUUUUAUGCAAAUCGUACUGAACAUUGGGACUGAUGUUUAAGAAAAAAAUUCUGUAGUUAAAGAAAAACAAAAAGGCAUGUUGAAUAGAUUACGAUAGUUUAUUCAAUUGGGAAUUUUUUUUCUUUAAUUUUUGUUGUACUUGAUUGAGAUUUCUCUUUAGUCCUUUCGUACUUCCUUUGUAAGCUGAGUAUAAGGAUGAAAUUCUUUUAAGAAAUUAAAAAAGAAAAAAAAGCAUGCCACUACGCAAUUAUAAAUAACCACAAAUAAAUAUAAACAAAAUGUUUAUGAAGUAAAUUAAACAUGCACAUAUUAUUUUCUUUUAUUUGCUGCUUGGAAACCCAUAAAUGCACUAAUCCAAUAUUACAAUUAAUUUCAAACAGAAAAAAUUGAACUCUAGGCUGCAGUUUGACUCAAAAUGAUGACCACUGGCUUCGCACCAUUCAACCGGUAUACAUUUCUACAAACCGAACAACGCUAUUGAUUUUUAUUUUUUUUUUUAAUUUGUCUAUAAAUUACUAUUUUAAUUUUCACUUUUUAUUGGGUUGUUUAACGGAUUAGUGAAGCUGGUGGUCGUUGAUGCACUCAUAAGGUACAAUUUUAUUUUAGAAUUUCAAAUUCGUAUUUUAAAAUGCAGGCACAUUAUGUAUACAUAAUUAUUGAUUUUCAUAUGUGGGUGUUUUGAAAUAUUGCCAAAAGACCAAACUUUAAUAAACUAUUUUUGAUUUUUUUUUUCCUUUUUACCUAAAGUUGGAGUGAUAUCCGCAUUUUAAAUUCAUGUGGAACAAAGCUAAUGUAAGCACAAAAUUCUUUUAUUUUUUCCGAGAAAAAUGGGUAAGAGAAGAAGAUUUUUCUCUUGAAAAAUGAAAAAAAAUACAAUGCAAGCAUAGGAAAGAGGUCAGUGUUUUGGAUUUGAAUUUAGUAUUGAGCUGAAUUUUAUGCUAAGCUCUUUUAUAGUACUGCGAUUAAUAAGCUAGCUCAGGAUUUGCUUUUGCUUUUACUUCAAGUAAAAGAAAGAGGAAGCCUUUUGUUUUUUUGUUUGAUUUUUGACUAUAUAUGUUACCUAUAUAGAGAGUUGAGGUAGCAGCCUUAAGUGAUGGUGAUAAAAAGAUUAAGCAGUGCACACAAUCUUACUGUCAUCCAGACCAUCCAGUGAUGGCUCUAGUUUUUUUGUUACGUUAGCUUUAGUGGAAAGAAGGGCCAAUUUAACAAAGACUAGAUUUGGUGGCUUACUAUGUUUAAUGUAAUGCUUAUUCUCAGCGCACACAAUCUUACUAUGUUUAAUGUAAUGGUUAUGUUGAAUGAUCUUCUAUGAUUGUGAGUAGUAUAGUAUAAUUGAAAAGGGCCUGGGCUCCUAUGAUGAAUAACAGUAACACAUUACUGUGAUUGAGAAAACUCAGUUCCAAUAAACUCUUCAUUUACUCAUUGCGGAGAUCGAAUGGCAAACAGAGAAUAGAAUGAAGCAGAAGAAUCUCAUUGUUAGGUUUUGAUGAUUUCAGAUGCUUUUUUUUUAAAAAAAAAUUGUGACAUCUUUGAUUUACGGCAGUUUUGCAGAAAAAAAAAACAUAUAAAAAUUAAGAGGGAUGAGUUAACUGACGAUUACAAUCAUUACAGCAAUGCUGAUGAGUGAUAUAUCACUUGAAAUUUACUUGUCAGUUGCUGAAAUGAUGAAAAAAAACCAACAAACGAUAACAGUAAUAAUGUUCCCUUGCUGAAAUUCAAUUUUGACUUUCGACUCUUGGCUUUUAUGGAGAGUAAAAUGACUUGUAUAUUAUACUCAUACAAUCCACUCUACAUAAUGAUAUCGUUUUAAUAAGGCAAUGGCUGAUGAUCUCCAUUUAAAAACUACAUCAAUUUUUUUGCUUCAUUUAACUUUUUGGUUGUUGAAAAUAACCUUAAUUAUCAAAUAAUUGGAGAAAGAGUUAAGAACAUUUAACAAAUUUAUGUGCAAAAAAAAAAAAAAAAGGAAGAAGUUGAAGAGAAAGGGUGCUUGCAGAAGUGGGUGUCAAAGAUAAAUCGGUCCAUAAGAAUUAUUGUGGUUAUUUUUUGGCAAUAUAAAAAUUUUUUAGCAAGUAAAAAUAAUUUUUUUUCCGAUUUACUAAAAAAUUAACUAAAAACUUCUGCGAUGUCAUUUUUUAUGGGUGCAUAUACCCUCCCUUUAAAAAAUUUAUAAUAAUUACUGCUUAAUAUAGUAUUAAAUACGAAAAAUAUCAAUAUUUGACUACUCAAAUUUAUAUCAUUAGGUCCUUAAAAUUUAAAAUGGAAGAUAUGAAAGGAAAUAUAUAUAAAUUUCAUUGUCCUGGGAAAGGACCCUCUUAUUAUCUUAUAAUAUUUGAAAUUUGAUAGAUUUUUUGAAACAAAUGUACUUUUAUUUGUGUACAAUCAAUAUUUACUCAUUUAUUAUAUUUUAAUUUAUUAACUAUCAAUCAUGUAAGUAUACUUAGUCAAAAAAAUUAUAUCAAGAGAGAAUUCUAAUUUCACGCAAAAACAAAUACCAAAACAAAUAUCUCAAUUUCUAUACUAUUCACUUUCCUGUAGAAUCAAUUAUUUAAAAUGCAAGUUUGUGGCUACAGAAAACUCGCCAAAGAAAGAAGAUAAUAACAAUUGAGCAUUGAUGGCAAAACUAAUGCAUCCAAUUCUUCUUGACUUGAUGAGAUGGCGCCAUAACGUAGAAACAAGUACCUAAAUUGACCGGCACUGAGUGGUGUGAAUACUACCAGCCAGUUCAUCUCUUCCAGUCUUGCUUAAUCACAAUCACAAACACCACGAGAUCGACAUUUGCAUUAUAUAUAUCUUCUGCAAUCGAAACACCUUGCAUUACCAAAUAAGCCCGUAACAGACAAAGCAAUCUUUCAUGGAGAGAAACCUUAGUCUCAGUAUGAUCACUGUGUCAUUAACGUACUGCCUGCUUCUUUGCUUGGUUGCUGCAGCAGCAGCAGCGGCAAGCAACAAUAUUACCACAGACCAACAAGCUCUUCUUGCCCUGAAAGAUCAUAUAAUUUAUGAUCCGACCAGCCUUUUAGCUCACAAUUGGACCUCGAAUACCUCUGUUUGUACCUGGAUUGGCAUCACUUGUGAUGCCAAUAGCCAUAGAGUCACAACCUUAGAUAUUUCUCAAUUCAAUCUACAAGGCACCAUCCCUCCUCAACUUGGGAACCUCUCUUCACUCACAACACUUAAUCUUAGUCAUAACAAGCUUUCUGGAAACGUUCCCUCCUCCAUCUACACCAUGCAUACGCUAGAAUUUCUUGACUUCACUGAUAACCAGCUCUCUGGUUCAGUGACUUCCUUCGUCUUGAACAUGUCUUCAAUAUUAGACAUUCGUUUGACCAAUAACAGACUUUCUGGUGAGCUUCCGAAAAAUAUUUAGAGCUAUCUUCCUCAUUUGAAAGCCCUUUUUUUGGACAAAAACAUGUUUCAUAGCAAACUUCCUUCUGCUUUAUCAAAGUGCAAACAACUGCAACAAUUAAAUUUGAAGUUCAAUAAUUUAUCCGGUGCAAUACCAAAAGAAAUCGGCAACUUGACUAUGCUCAAAGGGAUAGACCUCGGCUACAACAAACUCCACGGUAUGUUCAUAAUACUAUACAAAUAUUAUCUUUCUUGAAUACUUUAGAUAAGAUCUUGUAUGUGAGAUUUUUUUGCAUCUAUAUUAAUUUUCCAGGUGAGAUACCGCACGAAAUCGCUAAUCUUCCAAAUCUAGAGGCUUUAGCGCUUGGAAUGAACAACCUAGUUGGUGUGUUACCAGCUCCAAUCUUCAACAUGUCAACACUGAAUGUACUUAUCCUCAUAAAUAACUCUCUCUCCGGUAGUCUUCCAUCAAGAAUGGACCUUUCACUUCCAACUAUUGAGCAUCUUAACUUUGCACUUAAUAGAUUUUCUGGAACAAUUCCUAGUUCCAUAACCAAUGCUUCUAAGCUCACAUUUCUAGAGUUGGGAGGAAACACAUUUUCGGGCUUUAUUCCAAACACAAUUGGUAAUUUAAGAAACCUUGAGUUGUUCGGCUUGGUUUUUAACUACUUGACAUCUUCGAGCUCAAAAUUGAGCUUUCUUUCCUCUUUGGCAAAUUGCAAGAAAUUAAGAGUCAUAGGCUUAACAGGCAAUCCACUCAACGGCAUCCUUCCAAGUUCAGUAGGUAAUCUUUCUAUGUCUUUGAAAACACUUCACAUCGCCAAUUGCAGUAUUAGUGGCAACAUUCCUCCAGCAAUUAGCAAUUUAAGCAACUUGUUGGCCUUAGUAUUAGAAGGCAAUAAAUUGACUGGACCAAUCCCAACUACAUUCGGCCAACUACAGAAACUCCAAGGCUUAGAUCUCGCAUUCAAUAAGUUGGUAGGUUCAUUCCCAGAUGAGCUUUGCCAUCUAGCUAGGCUGGAUGAAUUGGUCUUAUUUGGCAAUAAGCUUUCAGGAUCUAUACCUUCAUGCUUAAGUAACCUCACUUCUCUGAGAUCUCUCCACUUAGGGUCCAAUAGGUUUACUUAUGUCAUUCCCUCAACUUUCUGGAGCCUAAAAGACAUCUUGUUCUUUGACUUUUCAUCAAAUUUCUUGGUUGGUCCUCUUUCUUUAGACAUAGGAAAUUUGAAGGUGCUUCUAGGAAUAAAUUUAUCAGAAAAUAACUUAUCGGGUGAUAUGCCAGCCACAAUUGGAGGACUAAAAAACCUUCAAAUUAUGGACCUAACAUAUAAUAGACUGGAAGGGCAAAUUCCUGAAUCAUUUGGUGACUUGACAAGUUUGGAGGUUUUGAAUUUGUCAAAUAAUAAAAUCUCUGGGUCUAUUCCAAAAUCCAUGGAGAAACUCUUUUACCUUCGAGAGUUAAAUCUCUCUUUCAAUGAACUAGAAGGUGAGAUUCCUAGUGGAGAAAUUUUUACCAACUUCACAGUUGAGUCAUUUAUGGGAAAUGAGUUAUUGUGUGGUUUACCAAAUCUUCAAGUCCAACCAUGCAAACUUAGCAAGCCAAGGACAGAACAUAAAUCAAGGAAAAAGAUACUUCUCAUUGUGAUUGUUUUGCCAUUGAGUAUUGCUCUAACAAUAGCAAUCACUCUACCUCUCAAAUCUAAGCUGACCAAAUGUGGAAAAAGAUGCACAGUGUUGUCAAAUGAUAGUGUCUUGUCAUCACAAGCAACACUAAGAAGAUUUUCAUACUUAGAACUUUUACAAGCAACAGAUAAUUUUGCUGAAAACAACGUAAUUGGCAUAGGUGGUUUUGGUUCUGUUUAUAGAGCAAGACUUGAAGAUGGGAUGAAGAUUGCAAUAAAAGUGUUUCACCAGCAAUGUGCAAGCGCAUUGAAGAGUUUUGAGGCUGAAUGUGAAGUGUUAAAAAAUAUUCGCCAUCGAAAUCUUAUCAAAGUUAUCAGCAGUUAUUCAAACAAUGACUUCAAAGCAUUAGUCCUAGAAUACAUGUCCAACAGGAGCUUGGGGGAUUGGUUGCAUUCCAGCAAUUAUAUGCUGAAUAUAUUUCAAAGGUUGAACAUAAUGAUUGACGUUGCAUCAGCUUUGGAAUAUCUCCACUUCGAUCAUUUACCUCCUAUUAUUCAUUGUGACUUAAAGCCUAGUAAUGUAUUGUUGGAUGAAAAUAUGGUUGCUCAUUUGAGUGAUUUUGGCAUAGCAAAGCUUUUAAUUGGGGAGGAUGUGUAUGUCAUGCGAACAAAAACCCUUGCCACUAUAGGUUACAUCGCACCAGGUUUGCUUCAAACAACUUUUUUUUAGUUCAUUUUAAAUUUUCUAAAUCAUUGAUUUUUACGAUCCUCAUAUCAAAUUGUUAUUGAUUAUUUAUCUAAUUGUGAAAUUAAUUUGAUUCAUAGAGUAUGGCAUAGAAGGAGAAAUAUCUACAAAAAGUGAUGUUUACAGCUAUGGGAUUAUGUCGAUGGAAACUUUUACCAAGAAAAAACCCACAGAUGAAAUUUUUGUUGGAGAAUUGAGCUUAAAGCGUUGGGUUGAUGACUUGCUUCCUGAUUCAUUAGUGGAAGUUGUGGACAAAACUCUAGUAAGUGGAGAGGAAAAACAUUUUGCCGCAAAGGAGCAAUGUCUGUUGUCUAUCUUUAGUUUGGCUCUGGAGUGUACAAUGGAAUCACUGAAAAAGAGGAUCAAUGCAAAAGAUAUUGUUACCAGAUUACUCAAGAUAAGAGACACAUUGAGUAAAAGGAUAGGAAAUUUAAGUUAAUAUCGUUUGCUUUCAUUGAUAGUUAUUUUGAAUUCAUGUAAUAAGUGUACGAACCUUAUAUCUUUUCCUUUGAUAUUUUUUUCCUUGAGAAAACUAUUGUAGUCAUCUUAUUUCCAUGGGCAGAGUUGAUUUAGUUCUUCCAAGAAAUGCUACUGAUGACCUUUGUUUUAUACUUUCUCUUUUUUUGCAUGUGUUUAGGUAGAACAGUGGUUUGGCUGCAGGCUAAGAAGACUAACUACACUAAAAGAAUAUGAUUUAAUUUAUUAAACAAAACUUCAAGAAAAGUAUUUCACUGCCCCCAAUGCUUUGGACACCUACUGGUGGGUUUGUACGUGUCCUCAACUUUUUUUUGGAGCACAAAAUUCGAGUCCCAUGGAGACUCAAACAUUCCUUUCCCACAUCUCGAGCACGCUAAAUUUAUCAGACUGACAACUGGGACAUAUACAAGAGUGAAAUGUUUAGAGCACUCUAAGUUCGAGUGAAAGAGAUUAAUUUACAGAAAAUAAAGCCAAGGGUUCAGAAAAAAGUGCAAAGAGAAUAAAGGAACGUCUGAGCUAUUUAAAGCUUCAUGGAAAGUUGAAGGCUCUCCAUAUUUUGUUAGAAGAUAGUAUGCAACAUUGAUCUCUGUGACAUACUCCGAGUGCCACGUUGGCGGUCGUCUCUCACGAGUUGACCGACGAAUUUCUUGAGCCUCGGACUCGACUAGUUCUUGUUCCUCGUGCUCUGGUGCUGCUUCAGAAGAAUUUGAAUCUUUUGAAUUAUUUUUCACAUAUACCGGUACAGUCUCUGACUUUUCUUUUACAGUGCUAUCAUCCUCAUCUUUCCUUUGCAAUUGAUCUUCUAUAAAAAUAACAUCUCUGCUGAUGACGAUCUUGUGGGCAGUGGGAUCCCACAGACGAUACCCUUUUACUCCAUCAGCAUAUCCCAAGAAGAUACAUCUUCUAGAUUUUGCAUCCAGUUUUGUUUUUUCUUGAGCAUUGUACAUCACGUACACAGGACAUCCAAAUGUAUGUAGGUAGGAAUAAUCAGCUGGCUUUCCAGUCUAUAUCUCCAUCGCUGUCUUCAGCCCAAUUACUGUAGAUGGUGAUCGAUUUACUAUAUAACAGGCAGUUUUGGCUGCUUCUACCCAAAAUGAAUUGGGUAGACCAGCAGUCCUCAACAUAGCUCUUAUCCGUUCUGUAAUAGUUCUAUUCAUCCGCUCUGCCACUCUAUUUUGUUGAGGAGUGUAUGCCACCGUGAACUGUCUCUGAAUACCUUCUUGCUUACAGAAAACAAGAAACUCGCCGUCUAUAUACUCUCCACCAUUAUCUGUCCUCAAGCACUUGAUCUUUUUACCAGAUUCAAGUUCUACCGUGCUUUUAAACACUGGAAAUACAUCUGACUUUUUCUUAAUUGGAUACACCCAACAUCUUCUGGAAUAAUCAUUAAUGAAAGUCACCAUGUACUUUGCACCUCCCAUGGAUAUAUCCGGUGAUUCCCAAAUAUCAAAAUGAAUCAAGUCUAUAAUGCAUUUACUUCUAGCAAUAGAUCUACUGAAUUUUAAUUUAUGCUGCUUACUUGUAACACAAUGCUCGCAAAAUGGUAAACUUACCGAUUUGAGCCCCGGAAGCAAUUUUCGCUCAAAGAGAAUCUUCAAUCCUUGUUCUGACAUGUGGCCAAGUUUGAGAUGCCACAUCAUCGUUGACUCUUCUCCAUUUGACGCGACACAUGCAUCAGCCUCUUGUAGUGUUUCUCCUUUAAGCAUGAAUAAAUUAGCACCGAUCUUUUCUGCCUUCAUCAAUACAAACGCACCUUUAACGAUCUUCAUAAUUCCAUUCUCCACAUGAGUUUUGUACCCAUGACUAUCCAUUUGUCCCAAAGGUAAAAGAUUUUUCUUCAGGCCGUUGACAUGUCGUACCUCCCUAAUUGUGCGAAUUGUACCAUCAAACAUUUUUAUUUUGAUAGUACCAAUACCAACGAUCUCCAAGGCAUGAUCAUUACCCAUAUAUACAGAUCCUCCUGAGAUAGGUUCAUAUGUGUGGAACCAUUCUCUCCGAGAGGUCAUGUGUCAGGUAGCUCCUGAGUCUAUAAGUCAGACAUCAGAUAGUCGUUUUCUGCCUUCUAAAACAGUUGUUGCCUCGCUGUAGAGAAUUUCGCCAUCAUCCGAGGUACUUACGACACAACCCUGAGCAUUUGAUGACUUAGGUUCUUUGCCCACUCUUGUCUUCUAAUUACUCCAACACUCUUUCUUGACGUGCCCUUUCUUGCCACAGUUGUAGCAUUUAACAUUCUUCUUACUUCUAGAUUUUGAUCUACCAUGAUUUUGACUCCCAUUGGGGCCACGUUCCGUUGAUCUCCCUCUCGUCACCGAUAGCGCCUCCGCUUGCUGCGAACUUGCUUGUCUGUUUUUCUUAUUUUUUCGUCUGCUUUCCUCAUUUAAUACAGAGGCUGCAACAUCGUCGAAAACUAGACUGUCCACUGGAUUGCUGUUCGUUAGGUUGAUGAUGAGUUGAUCAUACGAAUCUGGUAGACUUUGAAGUAGAAGCUCUGCACGUUCAUUCUCCUCUAUAUUAUGACCCAACGUUGUAAGUUGUGAAAAUAGAGUCUUCAAGGUGUUGAUGUGAUCGGUUACCAUUAUAGAUUCCGCCAUUUGAAGAGUAUAAAGUUUCCUCUUCAAGAAGAUUUUGUUGUGUAGUGACUUGGCCUCGUACAAUUUUGUGAGAGUAUCCUAAAUUUCCUUCGCUGUAUUUUUCUUUGCCACACUGGAUAAUACUCCGUCUGCAAGUGCCAAGUGUAGAUCAGAAAUGGCAUUGCCAUCUAUCUCGUUCCACUUGUCAUCAGUUAUCUCCAUGGGCCUUUCUCCAAUUGCUUCCAAGUAAUUAUUUUUCCUCAAUACAACUUUCAUCUUAAUUUUCCACAACGAAAAAUUAUUUUCGUUAAAUUUCUCAAUUUCAUACUUUGCUGUCAUUUUGUUGAUAAAUAUUGUACACAAACUAGUGUAUCACCUUGAAUAGUUGUGAGUAUGUGUAAGAAUGCACACCAGAAAAGUUCCUAGGAAAGACUGGAGGGGUCACAAUAGUCCCACUUAAAACUCAGACUCCUUAAGCUCUUAUCGCCUUUGUGACAGAACUUUCCUAGACAUGUAUAAAACCACACAAUUGCUUUACUCACACCACUAUUCCCUGCUUUGUACCGCCAAAUUCUUCGAUCGCUCCCACCGUUUCACGUGAAUAGUACUGUAUACGUGAACAGUACCGUGUACGUGAAUAGUAUCCCUUACGUGAACAGUACCCAACUCUAAAAAAUACAAUAAAUAGCUCUGAUACCACUGUUAGGAAAUUGGUGGGUGAAGCAGGACCGCAGCUAAUAUGAAAUUGGAAGAAAAUAAAGAACAAGGACAAAAAGAGGAUACCAGAAAUUACGUGGUUCGGCUUUUAACCUACGUCCACGGGCGAAAACAGAAGGAAAUAUUUUACUCGUAAAAAGGAGUUACAAGUAUUGUAGUAUUUUAGCUCACUUUCCAAAAUCCCAAUACACCCAAACUCUCAAAACACUAAAACAAGAGCUUAUAAUUUCAAGCUCUCUAAACUCUCUCUAAAUACAAGAAAACUCUUCUCAAAAUUGGAUAAGCAAAUGAGGGAAUGAGCCCCUCUAUUUAUAGCCAAAAUCUUGGCUACUAUUCACUUUUUUUUAAAAAUUAUUUAUUAUUGUUCAAAAUUUCAACAUUCAAAGUUUGAUAUUCAAACUUUGAAUAUCUAGAAUUUUGAAUUUGAUAUUCAAAGUUUGAAUAUCUAGAAGUUUGAAUUUGAUAUUCAAAGUUUGAAUAUCAAGACACCCAAUCUUGACACUAAAUUCACCAGACUGACAACUGGGGCAUAUAGAAGAGCGAAAUAACUGGGACAUAUACAAGAGUGAAAUGUUUAGAGCACGCUAAGUUCGAGUGAAAGAGAUUAAUUUACGGAAACUGAAGCCAAGAGAAUAAAGGACAACACUUACGUGAAGCGACAUAAUUGUAUUGAAAGCACAAUGUCAAAUUCAUACGGAGAUCUAGUAUAUUAUUUACAGCUGGUGAGGGCUAAGAAUUGAUGUAGCUAGAAUACAAAGACGAUAAGGUAUGUUGUGCACUAUUGUUUUAUUCUACGAUCAAUCUUGACCCUUGAUGCUUGGCUCUCAAUCUUGUCCAUUGAUCUUCUUUGAUUUUGGACACUUCAAGACCUUUCAGUAUCAUUCCUUGUUGUUGGUGUCUUCCGUGCUGUAGAAUUCAUAUACAAGCCUUCCCGCCGACUUGCCAAGUAUUCGUUCAUUGAUGCAUUUUUAUCAAACAGCUGGGCUACUUAUGCCAAACACCGCCUGGUUUAACUCCCCCUCUCUAGCUCAACUAUCUGGGAAGACAAUUAAUUGAGAUAUGAAUCAGAAAAUUAAAUUUUAAAAAUUGUAUUCGGACUCUACAUUUUGUAAUGAACAUUGGUUUGACUUGUUAUACAUUUAUGCGUACAUAAUUAAUAACCGAUUCUCAAGUGCGGACAUUCAAGAGCACUGCUUAAAGACCAAAUAUUUUGAUUUACUAUUUUUUGUCUUUCAAUUUUCUUUUAAGUUCUGAUGACGUCCGCAUUUUAAAAUCCUGUGGAACAAAGGCCUGACGUGCAUAUAAAAUUCUUUUAUUUUUUCAGAGGAAAAUGGGUUAGAGAAGAAGAUUUGGCAAAAGAAUUGCAACGGCAUUUGAAACUAGUCUUCGUCUUUUAAUUCUUUUAUAUUUGUUUUUGUUAUUGAUGUUAGCUUGGAUGUGAACCCGUGUGACUGAAUUCAACUUAUAUUUGUUUUUGUUAUUGUUAUUAAUUUUAUUUGUUUUUGUUAAAUUGGACCACCAACAAGGGCGGUCCAUUAUCAAAUCAACACGGUUUAAUUAUUAUUAUUUCUACACUUUUUUUAUGAACAAAUAUAAAAUAAAAGGACAUUUACACCCUCAAUUUUAGUGAAAUAGUCAUUAACACCCCUAAAUUUUUAAAAGUAGACAUCAAGAUCAUUUUUUUACCUUAAUACUCUUAUACGGUACCUCUAUUAUUCCCAAAAAUUGAUUCUAAUGUUUUAUAAUAAAUAAAAAUAAAACAUUAAAAUAAAUGUAAUAACAUAUAUAUUUUAAAAUAAUUUCAAUAUUUAAAAAAUAUUUUUAACAUUUUACAAUCUAUUAACUAUAUUUUAUUAUAUUGAAGUAAAUUUUAUAAUAAAUAGAAUCAUAUUAUUAAAAUAAAUGUAUUAAAAUUUAAAUGAUUUUGAAUAUCAUGUACAAUAAUAAUUUUAACAUUACUAAUAUGUCAGAUUUUUUUUUAAGAAUGUAUUUAGUGCAAAUAUUUCUUUCAAAUCUCCACAAUAAAUAAAAGAUUAAAAUAAAUAUAAUAAUUUACAUAUCUAAAUUUAUUAAAAUAUUUUAAUAUUGUUAGUCUACUGCAUAGAUCACAAUAUUUAUAUAAUAUUUGUAUUUAUUAAAAACUUUAAAAUCAAUUCUUUUGAGAAUAAUAGAGGUAAAGGGUAUAAUGGUCAAAAUGGGGACUUUGUACUCCUUUUUGAAAACUUGAAGGUGUUGGUGGCUAUUUUUCCAAACCUUCAGGGUGUAGAUGUCAUUUUUCCACAAAUAUAUGAGAAAAUUAUCAAGAAAUACAGUAUCUGAACUCUGAAGUAACAAGGAUCACCUUUUAUGAAAUCGAUUGCUUUUCAUGAUAGACUGUUACUAUUUUUCUACAAUAGAUUGAAUUUAGUAAAAAAUUGAUUAAGAUGUCUACUCAUGGAGAGUGAAAUUUAUGUUCAAUACUAAUUUCAACAUGCAUGCACCACCGAACGUGUUUCUCACGGAAAAGUUGCUUGGAUUUUUGGGACUUCCUGUUCAAAUAUUCAACACGGCAUGCACCACGCGAUUGAACAUGCAAAAGUAGGGGUCUAUUAUCAUUUCCAGCAUUAUAGAAAUCUUAAUUUUGUUCAUUAUUUAUUUUGAUCAGCACUGUUGAAUCUCCAUGUAUUGCCAAUCACUGGGAAACAACAUAUUCUUAUUAAUUAUAUCCUCUAAUGGAGAGAACUCAUUGUCUCAGUGUAAGAUCACUGUGUCAUUAACCCACAGCCUGCUGAUUUGCUUGGUUGCUGCAGCAAGCAAAAAUAUUACCACAGAUCAAAAAGCUCUUCUUGCCCCAAAAGAUCACAUAACUUAUGCUCCAACCAAUCUUUUGACCGAAAAUUGGACCUCAAAUACCUCUGUUUGUACGGGGAUUAGCAUCACUUGUGAUGUCAAUAGCCGCAGCCUUGGAUAUUUCUCAAUUCAAUCUACAAGGCACCAUUAUUCCAAACACAACUGGUAAUUUAAGAAACCUUAAGUGGCUCGGCUUGGCUUAUAAACUACUUGACAUCUUCAACUUCAAAAUUGAGCUUUCUUUCCUCUUUGGCAAAUUGCAAAAAAUUAAGAAUCUUAGGCUUACUGGAAAUCCACUUGACCGUAUCCUCUCACGUUCAAUAGGUAAUCUUUCUAUGUCUUAGGAAAGAUUUCACGUCGCCAAUUGCAGCAUUAGUGGCAGAAUUCCUCAAGUAAUCAGCAAUUUAAGCAACUUGUUGGCAGUUGUGCAAAAUUUUAAUAUACUCGCAAGUGCACGAAUCUAGAAAUAGAAUAAUGGUAAUGAGGUCAAACCCAUAGGGAUUGUUUUAAAAUGACAAAAGAAUAGCUGCUGGUCUAGAGGUGGCUUACUACAUUCAUACAAGAUCGUUUCUUGUUCUCUAAGAUGUGCAUUAUACUAAUAAUGCUAUACAAACUUAUCCAAAGGUCUAUUAAUUAAUUCAUUAAUCCAACGGCUUGUUAGGUUGUCCUUUCAUCCAUACAGCUGCAUGCUUGUCUUCAUAUACACUGAUCUUAUCCUCUAGAUCUGUUCAGGCUGAGUGAUCUCUCACAUUUGCCAUAUCAGAAGAUUACAUGCCAGUAAUGUCAUGUGAUGACCUGUUGCUUGGUGAUGUCGAAUGCCUGGCCUUUACUUCUCUGAGCAAAUUGAUCAAACAAUUUGUUCAUUUUAUCGAACACCUUCACCAACUAACAUUUUAUUUACUUUGGAUGGUUUUUAAGUGCAUUUAAUGAUUAUUUUUGCUCCAACUUCAGAUAAACCAAACGCCAGUAUAUUAGAAGAAGAAGUUAACUGGCAGCUAACCAGGUCAAAAUAGCGACUCUAUAUAAAAAAAAUAUAUAAAAUAAAAAAAUGGGACUUUAUUUAAUUAAUUGUUGGUCUAAAGCUGUUGGUAUCCGUUGGCCACGUUUCUGAAGAGUCAUCUCAAAUCGAAAUUUUUAACGAACAAAGGACAUUGCUGCUGGCUGCCGCCCGUGAGAUAAAAGUGCUAAAAUCCAAAAUGUUCCACCAUCAUUUAUUCUAAUUUUAAUUUUCCAAUGGAAAAAAUUACAUAAUUAAAAUGGCUUCUAAUAUCAUUUCCACACCUCAAUAUGUGUCACUAUCAUAAAGUUGUUCUCAUGAUUCAUGGAAAAUUUGGAUUACAGCACCUGUACUUUCUGAUGGUUCAUUAUUUAUUCUCAGGAAUCGAGUCUCCUUACAUUACCAAACUAAUAACAAACAGGAAUCUUUUAUCCUUUCACGGUGAGAAAUUACAGUCUUCGUAUGAUCGCAGUGCCAUUAACCCACUGCCUGCUUCUUUACUUGGUUGUUGCAGUAGCAGCAGCAAGCUACAUUACCACAGACCAACAAGCUCUUCUUGCCCUGAAAGCUCAUAUAAGUUAUGAUCCAACUAAUCUUUUGGCUCAAAAUUGGACCUCAAAUACCUCUGUUUGUAACUGGAUAGGCAUUACUUGUAAUGUCAAUAGCCAUAGAGUUACAGCAUUUGGAUGAAUUUUUAUUGAAACCUUUCUGAGAAGUAGGACAUGUCAGACAUCAAAGCACUGAGAUAUCUUCAAAUAGUGGUAACCCCACUCAUCAAGGCACAAUAAAUUAUACAGAUAAAAUCCUCCACUCUUUCGUAAUCAUCGGUGUAGGCACGGUGAUGCGUCGGACAGAUAUGGGUCGGAUCCACUCCAGCUCCAUAUCAAGAUUCAUAAACCAUGACAAAAAUAGAGAAUCAUAGGUGUUGCAGAUAGUGAUGGUUGUUGAUGCACUCGUAAUUUAAAAUUUUAUUUUAUAUCUUCAAGUUCGCAUUUUAAGUGUACAUUUUUUUUUUAUUUUGUGAUCAAUAUAACUUGUCAAAUCUAUUUUUAAAUAAUUUUUUAAAACAUUUUAUUAACAAUGAUAUGAAAAUAUUCGACCCCUUUUCAUAGUAAAGUGAAUUAUUAUCCGACAAUCCAACUCAUGUUUUCAAAUUGUAAAUUGCAAAUCGUGUGUUUGCUCCUGUUAGAGUGCAAUUUAUGCACUAGUUUUGCAUUGUUUACUUCCCUUAAUAUCGAUGUUUUGCACUUAAUAAUAAUGAUUUACUUGUGUUUUACUUUUGUAGGUGCAAUUCUAUUGAUUUGUGAUAAAAUUGAGCUAUAAGAUGAUGUUUAAAGAUGAUUGUUCUCUUGGAGAAAUGAUGAGCGUCAGAAGAACUUUGUUGAUAAGGCGUGAGCGCGUGCUGUCAACUACGGGCCUGCUGUUUUUAGUUUAACGUGUUUUGUAUUUUUGGUUAUUUUUGUAAUUACGAAUUUAAUAUUUCAGAUAUUAGUAUUUUAUUUUAAAUAGAAUUCUAGAGGAGAAGAGAGAGAGAGUAUUUAAGGGAGGAAUCUAUUGUGAAAAAAGGGGAUUUUGGAUUGGAGGAAAAGAAAAGAAACCCUAGAUCUAAUUUUUCUCUUCUCUCUAUGAAGAACUAAACUUAUUUUUCUGGUUGAAGGAUAAUGAAGCUUUGAUUCAUCACUACUGUGAGAUCUUUCUUGUGCUUUAAUUGUUUUAUUGCUUUUUGGGUAUUUGUUUAUUCUCUGAAUUAUUUUCAUGAUUAUGUUUGUUAAUUAGAUAAUUGGCCACUAUUUAAUUAUCAACUUAAUCUAUUGUUAAUUAAAGGAUUUAUCGUAUGAAGAAUUUAAUGUUUGUGACAAAUAACAUAGCAGAGAGUUGUGUUGUGAGAAUAAACAAUCUAAUUUAAAUGAAUCAUCAUAUGUGUUGAUUAGGAUUUAGGUCUCUCUGGUUUUUCAGGCUGUCAAUUGAUUAAAUCCUAUGAUCGUAUCUAGGGUUGUCCAUUGAUUAGGGAAAUAUCCAACGGUCGUACCUUGGUUAUCGACUAAUUAAGGAGAGAUUGGCUAUUAGAGGGUCUCAGUAGCUAUAACCGGUCUAUUCAUAAGUAAUAAUAAUUUAUAUUUGAAUCAAUGAUCAGUAGUCGAAUCAAGCUGAGUUAAUUCCUUCAACCGGAGCUUUCUCCAAUUUGAAUUACAACUUUAAUUUGCAUUCUUGUUAUUUUAAUUUGAUUUUUAUUAUUGUCAACAAUUCCCCCAUUUUACGUUUUACGUUUCAAAAGGAUUUAAAUAAUUACCGAUCUCUGUGGACACGACCCUGCUCAAUCACUAUACACAAUUUAUUUAGAGUAGGAAUUUAUUUUUGUUGGCUUCGACAACCAUCAAAUUUUGGCACUGUUGCCGGGGAUUGGUGUCAUUUAUUUAAUCCUUUUUACGUUUUACUUGGUGUAUGAUUCGUUCUUCUCGUACAGGUACACUUUCGUUUGAUCCUGAAAUUGAGAAGAUAGCUCGCCACCUGAGACAGCAGACGAAGCGAGCUAAGCAACGAUCCUCGUCACCUUUGCUUUCUGAAACAGAUACGGUGCUUGAUUUAGUUGAAUCAUCUAGCGAUUCGGAAGAACAAGUGAUGGAUAGAGUUGCACCUGUAGAAAGAACUCUUAGAGAGUUAGCUGAACCAGACUUGAAUCAACAACCACUCUGCAUUCAAUAUGUAGACUUGGAGGUAAAUUUUGAAUUAAAGUCUGGUCUUAUUCAUUUAUUACCCAAGUUUCGUGGUUUUGCAGGUGAAGAUCCUCAUAAACAUCUUAAGGAGUUUCAUGUUGUGUGUUCAAGUAUGAGGCCACAAGGCGUGACUGAAGAGCAGAUUAAGCUGCGUGCUUUUCCGUUCUCUGUAGAUGGGCUAGCUAAAGACUGGUUGUACUACUUGCCUCCUGGAUCGAUUACAACGUGGAAUGGUUUGAAGAAGCAAUUCCUCGAGAAGUACUUUCCUACUUCAAGAGCUGCCAACAUCAGAAAAGAUAUUUGUGGGAUCAGACAACUUCCUGGGGAGACUUUGUAUGAGUAUUGGGAGCGAUUUAAACAAUUGUGUGCCAGCUGUCCUCAGCAUCAGAUUUCUGAUCAACUUCUUAUUCAAUAUUUUUACGAAGGACUGUCAUUGAUGGAUAGGAGUAUGAUAGAUGCUGCUAGUGGAGGCGUGUUGGUGAACAAGACCCCUACUCAAGCAAGGGAGCUGAUAUCAAAUAUGGCUGCCAAUGCACAACAAUUUGGCAGCAGGCAAGAUCCCACUUCAAGGAAGGUAAAUGAGGUAAAUAUUUCUUCUGUUGAACAACGUUUAGAUAAACUUACUUCUCUUGUGGAAAAGUUUGUUGUAGGUAAUGUGCAACAUAUGAAGACUUGUGGCAUUUGUUACAAUAUGGGUCAUUCAAUUGAUAUGUGUCCUACACUUCAAGAAGAACCCGUUGAACAAGCCAAUGCAAUUCAAGGAUUUCCAGGCAUGCCUCAGAGGAGGUAUGAUCCUUAUGCACAAACAUACAAUCCGGGAUGGAAGGAUCAUCCCAACUUCAGCUAUGGAGUUAGGCCGUCAGGAUUCCCACAACAGUAUCCACCAAGACAACCAGCACCUCCACAGUCAAACUCCAAGUCAGGUAUAUCUCUUGAAGAAAUUGUUAAAUCACUUGCGACUAACACUCAACAAUUUCAGCAGGCAACUACAGCAAGCAUUCAGAAUUUGGAGAACCAAAUGAGUCAAUUGGCGAUUACAGUGAGCCGUCUGGAGUCUCAAGUAUUAGGGAGAUUGCCUUCACAAUCUGAGGUGAAUCCAAAGCAAAACAUUAGUGCUGUCAUCCUUAGAAGUGGGAAGGAGUUGCAAGAGCCUAGUAAGAAAGUGACAAAGCAUGUAGAAGAUGAGUUUGAGAAGAAUGAAUUGAUGCCUCAAUCUCAAGAUGUGGAACCCACCAGAGCGAAACCCCUACCUAUUGUGAUACCUCCUCCUUUUCCAAGCCGGUUUGCAAAAUCCAAGAAGGAGGAACAAGAGAAAGACAUCCUUGAGACAUUUCGCAAGGUUGAGGUAAAUAUUCCUUUAUUAGAUGCUAUAAAACAAAUACCUCGAUAUGCUAAAGUCCUUAAGGAACUGUGCACCUCCAAGAGAAAAUUAAGAGGAGAUGAAAAAGUUCACAUGGGGGAGAAUGUUUCAGCAGUUCUCCAAAAGAAACUACCUCCUAAGUGCAAGGAUCCAUGUAUGUUUACUAUCCCUUGUAAAAUUGGUAGUGUUAGAAUUGAAAAGGCUUUGUUAGAUCUAGGAGCUGCUAUUAAUGUCAUGCCUCGUUCCAUUUAUUCAUCUUUAAAUUUGGUCCAUUAAAAGAAACUGGCGUGAUAAUUCAACUAGCUGAUAGGUCUAAUGCAUAUCCUGAUGGGGUAUUAGAAGAUGUCUUAGUACAAGUUAAUGAGUUGGUUUUUCCUGCUGAUUUUUAUGUACUUGAUAUGGAAGAGGAUAACUCCUCUAAUUCUGUCCCAAUUUUGCUAGGAAGACCUUUUCUUAAGACUGCUAGGACUAAAAUGGAUGUACAUAAAGGGACUCUUACUAUGGAGUUUGAUGGAGAGGUUAUAGAAUUCAAUAUGAAUGAUGCCAUGAAAUAUCAUAGUGAGGAACAUUCGGUAUUUUCUGUAGAUGUUAUUAACCCGAUAGUGCAGGAAGUUAUUUACAAGGAAAAAACGACGACAUUUCAUGAUAGAAUGAUUUUGUGAAAGGAGUUCUCUGUUGGUCAAAAAGUUCUUCUUUUUCAUUCUAAGCUUAAACUUUUUUCGGGUAAAUUACGUUCUUGCUGGGUUGGACCUUUUAUUGUUACUAAUAUUUUUCCUCAUGGUGCAGUUGAGAUUCGGAGUCCGACCUCUGACAAAGUUUCUAAGGUUAAUGGUCAUCGCUUAAAACCUUUUUAUGAAGGUUUUUCGGUGAAUAUUGUGGAGGAUGUGGCUCUCGAGAGUCCCAAUUAUGGAGAUUGAUGCAUAAAUGUGUCUAGCCAAAGACAUAAAACAAAGGCGCUUUUUGGGAGGCAACCCAAAUGAUUUAUUUAUUUUGGUUUUUGUUAUAUCUUCUUUUAAUUUUGAUUCUUUUUUUUUUUAAUGUGUUUGCUUAUUUUGGUCAGAAUAAAAUUUUUGAUAAGGCGUGUCCACGUCUUAACUAAUAAGUACUUCUGUGAUUUUUAAAGUAAAAUGGUUUUAAGGUGUGCCCACGUGCUUAUUAAAAAAGUGCAUCUGAAAUUUUUGUUGUCUCAAAGUGAUUCAUCACAAAAAUAAAAAAAAAAUUAUUUAUUUAUUAUUUUUUUUUCUAUUUAUUUUUUUUUAAAAAAACGAAAAAAAAAGGAGAUUUUCUUUUGUUCUUUCUUUUAUAUAUUUAUUUAUUUAUUUAUAAAAAAAAUUCAAAAAAUCACUGUUAAAAAAAAAAAUUUACUGUUCAUAAAAUCCCUAAUUUUCCAGAACUUGUUUUCUUCUCCAACCGCUUGCAGCACACCAGCAGCAAAGCAGCCCGCCGGAAAACGCACCACCCCGCGCGCGCAGCACCAGCAUCGAGCACCAUCCCGCGAGCGCAGCACCAGCAUUCUGUGUCUCGCAGCCCAGCAGCGCGCAACGAAGUCCCACCAGCGCGCAACGCAGCCUCACCAGCGCGCAACGCAGCCCCAACGCACAGCAAACGAGCACGCCCCGCAACGCAGAUCCGCAGCUCUAGCCCGCCCGCGCAGCGCAAAUCAAUCCAGCCAUCACCAUCGCGCAGCGCAUCGGUCCCGCGCGCGCAACGCAACGCAGCAUCAGCAUCCCACGUCCAGCGAGCAGCAACCCGCGCGCGCAGAUCUAGUCUUCGCCCAGCAGCGCGCAGAACCAGCGUCAGCCUAGCUCUCGCGCGCAACACAGCCCACGCAGCACGCAGAUCUAGUAGCCCCAGCGCGCGCGCACAACACAAUCAGCGCCAUCCCGCGUCCAUCAAGCAAGCUCCAGCCGAGCAGCAAUCGCAACGCAACCAACGUACGACCUAUAUUCCAGCUGGAUAAAUCGAAAUCCGUGAGUGCAAUUAUUGUAACAAUGCCGAAGAGAAAAGCAUCAACUUCCAAGUCAUCUAAAAAGACACCCGUCGCAAAUAAAUCCAAGAUUGCCGGUCCCACUACGGUUCCUUGGAACACAAUUUCAGAUUCACGCCAAGCCGUGAGACAAAGCUCGAAACAUGGAAAAGGCAUGAGUGUUUUGCCACUUGCAGAAUCCAAUCUUGGAGGGUGCCUCGCAUUCGCGACUCAACAAGAGAAAGAGAGGUACAAAGAUAUUUUCACGCACAAAAUACUUCCAGCUAAGUAUAUUCCUUACCUGACUCUUGAAAAAUUGAAUGUUAAGGAUAAUUUUGAUUCUUUGAUAGAUAAGAUUGGGUUGCGUAAGUUUGUUGAUGUUGAUUGUUUGGGUUAUGUUGAGUUGAUUAGGGAGUUUUAUGCUACUUUUCAAUUUAAUAUGUCGAAUGAUUUUACUUUGCAUACCCCGGAUGUCAUAAAGUUUAGGUUAAUGGGACGAAAUUUUUCACACUCUAUCACGGAUUUUAACCUAGCUUUAGGAUUCAUUGAUGAUGAUUAUUCUUCUAGUGAUGCAUAUUUAGGAACAACUUGUGACUUUAGCGAAAAUUUUGAGCCUUAUGGUCUUUGCCGUAAUUUAUCUGUUGAUCACAAUGCUUAUGACCCAAGUAAAUCAAAGAGUUCUUUCUUACGUGAUCCUGUUUUGAAAUGUGUGCAUCGAUUCUUAGCAUAUAAAUUUUUAGGCAAGAAAGAUCACUCAGGAGUUUUCUCUAAAACUGAAUUUUAUUUUAUCUGGUGCAUGUUAAAUGAUGUGAGGCCUAAUUUAGGUUUUUGGUUAGCGGAUUAAUUUCAAAGUGUGCUUAAACGGUAUAUGACUUUAUUUCUUGGUCCAUACAUUACUCUGUUAGCUGUAAACCUACCUAUGUGUGCUUGAUCUUGACAAUAAUGAUUUGCAUCUUGCUUGAUUUUUGGAUAUGUCUGAGUUUGAAAGAACAGGUGUGGUCGAAUUCAAGGAGGGGAGAUUUCAGUUUACUGAACCAGCACCCACUCAACCUCCGAAGAAGCUUUAUGCUAGAAGUGGUGCUACCUCUGAUGACGAGUUUGACGACGACACUGCUGCCCCGCCAACUAUUCCUUCUACAUCCGCACCACCUUUGAGCAUUCAGUUAGAGAAAAUGGAGCACAAGCUGCACAAGAUGGAGCAGAAUUUGGCCGCACACUUCGAGAGUGUGGGAUUUACCCCACCAUUUCCGCCAAGCCCAUAGACGUUAUGUGGAUCAAAGUUCACAAUUCAGGGAAGUUUCUUUUUGCCCUUAAUCUUUUAUCCUUACGCUUUAAUUUUUGUGUGAGCUUUGAUUAUCUUACAUUGGGGACAAUGUAAGUUCUUGGUGUGGGGGAGGGAUUUUUGCAUUAUUGAUGUCUGAAAUUAUUGUUUUCACUCUACUCAUCCUUAAAUGAUUUUGGAGUUAGUAUGCUUUAUAUAUUAUUAAUUUUCUUUUCCUUUCUCUCUCACUACUCUUUUCCCAUCUAUCUCAAAUUAUUUACAUCUAUUUUUUUUUCUAUCAUACUCUUUCAUCACUCACAUUUUAUCUUUCAUUUUUUUUACUACAUACAUCUUUCUCGCUUAUUAUCCUUUUUACCUUUCCUUUUAUAUCUCACUCAUACCUUCUUCUCAUUCUACACCACUAUUGAUGGUUGAUUCGUUUGAAGAGUGUACAGGAUUUGAUGGCAAAUUUACCAACUUUGUGAGGAUUUAAGCCUAUGAGCAACCACUUUGCUCUAAUUAUUUUUUGUUAUGUGAAUAUCAAUCCUAGUUUGUUUAUUCUAGAACUUGCUUUGUUAUGCAUGUUGAAGCCACAUUACGGGAUUUUAUGCAUUAAAAUGAUAAGGGCAAACCCUUUUCUAUUUUUCUAUUCUCCCAUUUUUUUUUCUCUAUCCGAAGACCUUUAUUUGCUAUCUUGGUUUGAGCCUUAACCAUUACCCAUCUAAUUCUCUCCGUCUACUUAACCAUUUUUCUUCUUUUUGAGCCUCAAUUUAAUGAGAUUUUUUUUGGACUCAUUGUGUGGAUAUAUUUUGUUGCUUUUUCUACCUUGUAUUAAAGUUUCUCAAUUAGAUCAACAAGCAUUAUGCUUGAAUUGAAUUGUGCAAGGUUCGUUUCUUUUGUUUGAUUCAAAAACAAAAAAAAAAAGAAAAAGAAAAAGAAAAAGAAAAAUCGAAAAAAAAAGAAAAAAAAUGUUUACAUUCUUGGUGACAUGAGUAGAAAUAAGCAUUUUGAUAUCAUAAGUUCAUUCAAUGAGUUCAUUCUUCUCAUUUUGAUCUCUUUUUCUUUCGUAAACCUUUCUUUUUCAUUCAACCUAUUUAACCCCAUUACAACCCUUUUAAGACCCUUAGAUUUUUGCAUUUUAUUCAUGUUUUGUGGAUUGAGAUGUGAUAUAUGAGCAAGCUUAUGGUAAUAGCAUUCUUUGAUUUGAUUUGAGUGAAUAAAUGACACCCUAAAUACUUUGAGUGCAUGGAGUGAAGUUAUUGAGAGGGCUAUUAAAUAUUGUUGCACUUGAAUUUUGAAUGGAUCUUCUUGGUGGUUGAAUGUUCUUAUUCUAUCUUAUGAAAUUCUAUGCUUUAAAAUCCUUGUCUCUAGAAUGUUGAUCGACUUAAUUUCUUGAGGUAUGCUUGCCUAAAAUUGUUUUUGGAUGAGUUGAGAUGAGAAUUGAGUGGAACUUUGGGAUUAAUCUUGAGUUAUAUGCUUGAGGACAAGCAUCAUCUUGGUGUGGGGGAAUUUGUUAGAGUGCAAUUUAUGCACUAGUUUUGCAUUGUUUACUUCCCUUAAUAUCGAUGUUUUGCACUUAAUAAUAAUGAUUUACUUGUGUUUUACUUUUGUUGGUGCAAUUCUAUUUAUUUGUGAUAAAAUUGAGCUAUAAGAUGAUGUUUAAAGAUGAUUGUUCUCUUGGAGAAAUUAUGAGCAUCAGAAGAACUUUGUUGAUAAGGCGUGGGCGCGUGCUGUCAACUACGGACCUGCAGUUUUUAGUUUAACGUGUUUUGUAUUUUUGGUUAUUUUUGUAAUUAUGAAUUUAAUAUUUCAGAUAUUAGUAUUUUAUUUUAAAUAGAAUUCUAGAGGAGAAGAGAGAGAGAGUAUUUAAGGGAGGAAUCUAUUGUGAAAAAAAGGGAUUUUGGAUUGGAGGAAAAGAAAAGAAACCCUAGAUCUAAUUUUUCUCUUCUCUCUAUGAAGAACUAAACUUAUUUUUCUGGUUGAAGGAUAAUGAAGCUUUGAUUCAUCACUACUGUGAGAUCUUUCUUGUGCUUUAAUUGUUUUAUUGCUUUUUGGGUAUUUGUUUAUUCUCUGAAUUAUUUUCAUGAUUAUGUUUGUUAAUUAGAUAAUUGGGCACUAUUUAAUUAUCAACUUAAUCUAUUGUUAAUUAAAGGAUUCAUCGUAUGAAGAAUUUAAUGUUUGUGACAAAUAACAUAGCAGAGAAUUGUGUUGUGAGAAUAAACAAUCUAAUUUAAAUGAAUCAUCAUAUGUGUUGAUUAGGAUUUGGGUCUCUCUGGUUUUUCAGGCUGUCAAUUGAUUAAAUCCUAUGAUCGUAUCUAGGGUUGUCUAUUGAUUAGGGAAAUAUCCAAUGGUCGUACCUUGGUUAUCGACUAAUUAAGGAGAGAUUGGCUAUUAGAGGGUCUCAGUAGCUAUAACCGGUCUAUUCAUAAGUAAUAAUAAUUUAUAUUUGAAUCAAUGAUCAGUAGUCGAAUCAAGCUGAGUUAAUUCCUUCAACCAGAGCUUUCUCCAAUUUGAAUUACAACUUUAAUUUGCAUUCUUGUUAUUUUAAUUUGAUUUUUAUUAUUAUCAACAAUUCUCCCAUUUUACGUUUUACGUUUCAAAAGGAUUUAAAUAAUUACCGAUCUCUGUGGACACGACCCUGCUCAAUCACUAUACACAAUUUAUUUAGAGUAGGAAUUUAUUUUUGUUGGCUUCGACAACCAUCAGCUCCAUUACAGAGUUUCAUCAAUUUGAAAUAGAGAAUCAUUUGUGUUCUAGAUUAAUCGAGGGUCUAUAUCCAAAUCUAAAAAUUGACUAACUUGGUUUCUAUUAAAUUCUUAAUCCUAACAAGAAAAAUAGAAGAUUAAAAAUGACUAAUUUGGUUUCUAUUAAUUUGAGUAACGAUCGAAUUACCUCAUUUAUUAAGAUUUAUCAAAAUCCUAUGUCAAAAUCCAUUAAUAAUAUAGGUUGGAUGAUGAAAUAGUCACUUAUUAUUAUUUUUGACUUCAUAAAUAGAUGAACGGAUGUUAUUUUUGGAUUCUGGAGAAUCCAAAAUAUCAGGAUAUGUGAUAAAUGGAAUUAAGUUGUAGAUAAGAUAGAAAUGGAUUUGGAGAGAGAUUGGAAUCCUGGGUAAUCCGGUGUACGUUGUUGUGUUGAAUGCUCGUUGACUUCACGUUGACUGACACAUUAUUGGAAGAAGUGAGCAAGCUUAUUUUCUUCUCUCAUUUUUAAAUUUGUCUAAGUUUAUUGAUGUGAGGCCUUUGAGAUUGUAAGUUUCAAAUCUGAGAAGAAUAACCACACACCCAUUAAUAAAUUUGUGAGGAUUGUGAGGGUUGAUGCAAUAUAAUUUAGAUGCAAAGUGUUUACAAGUACGAUGCUUCAUAAGUGUUCUUCAAUCAUUAUAAACUCACGUUAUUUUUAUAAUGAUUGUUUCAUCUGCACAUGGAUAUAAUCAUAUGUUGAGAUUUUUUCCUAAAUUAUGGUCUUAUUUGGUAUUGAGGUGUUAGAUCUUUUAAGAUACAAUUACUAUUGGAAAAAAUAGUGCAACUAUGAAAUAAAAGUUAAUAUUGUGUACUAAUUAUAAUUGUUAAAUAAUAAUUUUGACAAAAUUAGUGAAGAUAUAUAGUUUUUUUUUUAUCAUAUAAGUAUAAAAUCAAAUCAACUUAACUUCUAAACUAUAUAGCAGCUACUGCUUACCAAAUAUUUUAGUGCUGUAGCUUUUAAGUUAUAACUGCCUAACCUCAGUCUCAAACAAUGGCUAUAAAGAUCAAAGAUUUCCUCAUAAAAAUUAUACGUCUUGUGAUUGCUUAUUUAAUUUAUAUUUUUUUAUUUAUCUUUAUUAAUUACAAUCAUCUUUUAAUAAAUUACAAUUGGAGGAAGUUGAUGUUCGAAGUGCUUAUGUCGACUCGAAGUUGUUGGGAAUUAAUGCAUGUAUUGAUUUAUUGGGAGUGUUUAAAUGAUUUUGUGAUUUACUUGAUUGAUUGAUUGAAUAUUGUUUGAUUACUUUGUAUCCAUUCUAGAAAGUUUAUUUCUUUGUGAAAUUUCGACAAAAUAUGUUUUUCUUUUUAAAUAAUAAGGGUGUUUUAAGUAAUUUUUAAAAAUAAAUGGACUAACUAGAAUUAAUUAUUAGGUAACUAACUCGAACUGUACAAGGUAAGCGAACAUUUAUGCUGAUUAUAUCAUGAUAAAUCAUUUUCCGAUUAGAAUUAGGAAACCAUUAGCAUAUUGACUUUUUUUUUUUUUUUUUUCAAUCUCCCUUUGCGAAAACGGAUUACAGAAUUAGAAAACAAUCCUAAUGAUAUUAUUGUUAGGUUUAAAACACGGCAUAGAUAGUCAAAAGCUAACUAGUCUGCAGUAAUUUGUUAAUUGCUAUCGCCUCUCCAUGCGUGGUGAAUAAUUUGUUGCAUGCAAACUUUUUCCAUUUUAAAUAAACACAACGCGAUGUUUAUCUGCUCCGCGUUUUGCAAUCUGUUUAUUCGUUGUUUAUUUGCUUCGUAAGUCCUCAAACUUUGAUAACCAAAAAUUUCACCAAACUAUGAAAAUUAUUCUGCAGGUUAGUUUUUAUUUUCGGAAUAAUUAUUUGAGAAUACUAAAACACAAUAUAAAAUAAGAAAAUAGGGGGUUAAAAUUUGAAAAAAAAAAACAAAAGGGCAUGUUGGAUAGAUUACUGUGGUUUAAGAAAAAAAAUUAUUCAGUUGGGAAUUUUUUUUCUUUAAUUUUUGUUUUACUUAAUUGAGAUUUCUCCUUAAUCCUUACAGUUUUAAAUUUGGAUAACAUAGGAUUAGUAAUUUAGUACUUCCUUUGCAAGCUGAGGUUAAGGAUGAAAUUCUUUUAAGAAAAAAAGAUAAAAGAGCAUAACAAUAGUCAAUUAUAAAUAACCACAAAUAAAUACAAACAAAAUGUUUAUGAAGUAAAUUAAAAAUGCACAUAUUAUUUUUUAUUUUAUUUCUUACUAAUCUGUGUAUUUGCUGCUUGAAAAACCAUAAAUACACAGAUGACCAUUGGCUUCGCACCAUUUAAUCGGGAUACAUUUCUACGUACAAACUGAACAAGGCUAUUGAUUUUUAUUUAUUUAUAAAUUACUAUUUCAAUUUUCACUUUUUAUUGGGUUGUUUAAUGGAUUAGUGAGGCUGGUGGUCGUUGAUGCACUCACAAGGUACAAUUUUGUUUUCAAAUUUCAAAUUCGUAUUUUAAAAUGCAGCACAUUAUGCAUACAUAAUUAUUGAUUUUCAUAUGUGGGUGUUUUGAAAUAUUGCUAAAAGGCCAAACUUUAAUAAACUAUUUUUGAUCCUUUUUUGUUUCUUUUUUCCUAAAGUUUGAGUGAUAUCCGCAUUUUUAAAAGCUAAUGUAUGCAAAAAAUUCUUUCAUUUUUCUGGGGAAAAUAGGUAAGAGAAAAAGUUUUGGCAAAUGAGCUGCAACUGAAUUCAAAACCAAUACGAUGCGAGCAUAGGAAAGAGGUCAGUGUUUUGGAUUUGAAUUUAAAGAGGUCAGUGUUUUGGAUUUGAAUUUAGUAUUGAGCUGAAUUUUAUGUUUAACACAUGAUUCUAUUAUAGUACUGCGAUUAAUAAGCUCAGCCCCGGAUUUGCUUUUGCUUUUGCUUUUACUUCAAGUGAAAGAAAGAGGAAACCUUUUGUUUUUUCUUUGGUUUUUGACUAUGUUACCUAUACAGAGAGUCAAGAUAUCAGCCAUAAGUGAUGGUGUUAAAAAGAUUAAGCAGCGCACACAAUCUUACUGCUGUCUAGACGAUCCAAUGAUGACUCCAGUCUUUUGGUUACAUUAGCUUUAGUUGAAAUAAGGGCCAAUUUAGCAAACACUAGCUUUGGUGGCUUAUUAUGUUUAAUGUAAUGCUUAUUCUUAAGGAAUCUAAUGUAUAUAAGAUGAUUGAAUGAUCUUCUAUGAUUGUGAGUAGUAUAGGAUAAUUGAAAAGAGUCUGGUGUUAAAGGCUUACAGUUUUAAGCCUUUUAAACCAUGCGAUUUUAAAGUUUUACCGGAUUUUCCCGCACUUUAAAAUUUUAGACUGAAACAUUUUUGUAUAUAUAUACAUAAAAAUAUAUAUAUAUAAAUAUAUAAAUUAAGAGGGAUGAGUUAACUGAAGAUUAUAAUCAUUACAACAAUGCUGAUGAGUGAUACAUCACUUGAAAUUUACUUGUCAGUUGCUGAAAUGAUGAAAAAAAAAAUAAACAAUAACAGUGAUAAUGUUCUCUUGCUGAAAUGACUUGUAUAUUAUACAAUCCACUCUACUUAAUGAUAUCGUUUUAAUAAAUGUUUGAUGAUCUCCAUUUAAAAACUACUUCAAUUUUUUUCUUCAUUUAAGUUUUUGGUUGUUGAAAAUAACCUUAAUUAUCAAAUAAUUGGAGAAAGAGUAAAGAACAUUUAACAAAUUUAUGUGCAAAAAAAAAAAAGGGAGAAGUUGAAGAGAAAGGGUGCUUGCAGAAGUAGGUGUCAAAGAUAAAUCGGUCCAUAGGAAUUAUUUUGGUUAUUUUUUAGCAAUAGAAAAAUUUUUUAGCAAGUAAAAAUUAAUUUUUUUCCGCUUUACUAAAAAAUUAACUAAAAACUUAUGCGAUAGCAUUUUUUAUGGGUGCAUAUACUUCCCUUUAAAAAAAAUAUAAUAAUUAAUGCUUAAUAUAGUAUUAAAUACGAAAAUAUCAAUAUUUGACUACUCAAAUGUAUAUCAUUAGGUCCUUAAAAUUUAAAAUUGAAGAUACAAAAGGUAAUAUAUAUAAAUUUCAUUCUCAUGGGAAAGGAUCAUCUUAUAAUCUUAUAAUAUUUGAGCUUUGAAAGAUUUUUUUGAAACAAAUGUACUUUUAUUUGUGUACAAUCAAUAUGUACUUAUUUAUUAUAUUUUUAUUUAUUAACUAUCAAUCAUGUGAGUAUAUUUAGUCAGAAAAAUUAUAUCAAGAGAGAACCCUAAUUUCACGUAAAGACAAAUACAAGACAAAUAUGGCAAUUUCUAUACUAUUCACUUUCCUGUAAAAUCAAUUAUCUAAAAUGCAAGUUUGUGGCUUCAAAAAACUCGCCAAAGAAAGAAGAUAAUAGCAAUUGAGCAUUGAUAGCAAAUCUAAUGCAUCCAAUUCUUCUUAACUUGAUGAGUGACGUGAAUGCUACCAGUCUGUGACACCCAAAUUUUUAUUAUUUUAUUUAUUUUUUUAAUGGAAUUUGUAAAUGACGUUUUUGCCCUUAUAAAAAGGGUUAUUCAUGGAAUAAUUUUUAGGAAAGGGUUAUUUUUCCAAAUUCAAUAGGGUUUCUUAAGACUCCCUAUAAAUUCAUAUUUUUCUCCUUUCAUAACCCUAAAAGCACGACGUUUCUUCUUUUUCUAUACUGCUCAUUACACUCUUACCCAAACCCUAAGAUUCAAACCUUUGGUUAAGAGAGAAUCAAAGCGAUUGGUAAGUUUAUUCCCCUUAUUCUCUACAAGAUUCCCAAUCACUCUAUCUAGGGUCUAUAUUGGCAUGAUUUUAGAUUGUUAUAGAUCAUAAUACAUGAUUUAGAAUGUGUUUAGGCUUUGUUUAGAGUUUUGAUUUAUUAUGAGUUUAGUUAAUCAACCUUGACGUAUUAAGCACAUAGAAUAGUUCCAUAGAAUAUUAUGUUAUUCUAAGUUUUAGAUUAAGAGUUAAAAUUCUAAGCAUCAGACUUGUACGGGUACGAAUUAGAAAAAUCGGGUUCUUAGAAUAAGUUAUUAAUUGUCAUAUCUUGUAUUUGUUUAAGGUGAUUGAGGCUCUUAGAGGGUUAGAGGUGUGUUAAUUCAAAUUCUUUUGUCGAGGUAAGUAACUUCAUUCCUAAUGUACUGGAUAUAUAUAUAUAUAUAUGAUUAUUUUGAUAUUAUUAUAAGUACACAAAUUUUUUUACUACUUAGAAGAUUAAUUGAUUUUCAUAACAAAAUCAGUUUGUGUAAAUGUUUUCAAACCUAAAUUCCUUUUAAUAAAUUAUUUUGUAAAGGCUUUUAAAUAUGUAAGUUAUUUUAUGACAUGACUACCUUUUAUAAUUUUGUCUAUGAAAUAUUUGCAAGCCUAAAUUGUGGUUAUGGACUUUCAUGAAACUAAUACGAAUGUUUUGUACCUAUGUAUGAUUUCAAUUAUUUAUGAUUGUACGGGGGCCACCUCUUGGGACUAUAUGGGGGCCACCUCUUGAAAUUCAAAGCAUCACAAAAGUGCCACGUAUAAGUCAUUAUGUUUUGGCUCAUUAUCUGUAGUUAUUCUGAUUCUGAUUCUGAUGGUAUAAUACAAUAUAUGUCUGUUCUGGACCAGUACUAGGUUUUUGUUUUGAGUGUGCACAUGAUAUUCUGACUCUGUUUCUGGCCGGGUCACUAGGACUAUAGGUGACACUAUGUGACAUGAGCUAACCUUUUGUUUUCUGUGAAUGUGAUAUAUGAUUUGCUUUUGUAAAUAACUAUGCUUUUGAUAUUCUGAGUUACAAUGAAUUUAAAUUAUUUUAUAGUGAUAUAUCGUUUUAUGAAAUUUAUGGAUUAUGAUAUAUGUUUUAAUUAAAAGAAGGCUUGCAAUAUUUUUGGUAUUGAUAGGUCUAGUGUGUUAGGAAUAUUUUUACUUACCGAGUUGACGGCUCACCCCUCGUCAUUACUUUUUGCAGAUUAAGUUUCUUUUGAGAGCUGCGCUUAGCUUUGGAGUUAGUAAUUUUCUGUUUCCGUUUGCCAUUUGAAUAAGAGGAGAAAUAAACUCAUGUUUCUAUUUAGUUUAUUUAUGUUAUGAAUGUGUAAUUUGGAGUUUGAGACUUUUGUUAUUUUUUUUAUGUCCUCGGGAGAGAUUAUUUAGUAUUAGACGUUUGAAUUUGUGGAUUUAUUUGAAUAAGAAUUUGAGGUAUUUCAGUUUGAAACUUAUGAGUAAAGAUUAUGAUUUGUAAGUAACAUCCUUCUUCACGUGCUCCGCACGUGUUAGAUUUGGGGUGUUACAAUUGUGGUAUCAGGGCAUUAGGUUUGGGAUUCUGUAAACUUUAUUUGAGGCUAGAUUUCUUAAGCACAAUCAAUUAGUUCAAUGGUAUUGCUUGCCAUGAGGUUAUCGGAAAGAGUAGAUCUUUAAGGCGAGGAGUAAUUUUGGUCUUUUUGAUUUUCUAGUUGCUUGUGACUUUGUAAUAACUCCUUGAUAUAGGAUUUUGGUAUUAACGUAGAAUGAAAUAUUUGUUUGCUCUUGUUGUCAAUUACUAACUUUUCUCAAUUAUACUAUUUACUCAGUACUUUGUGCUAUAGCAAGCCCUUUAACUAUGAAUUAUUUACCAUUUUAUUUAUUUAUUUAUUUUUAUUCUUCGUGUUAUAGUCAAAAGAUGUCACGUAGGGGAGGUGCUAGGCAUGCCUUUAGCUCGAGAGAUGUUUUAGGUAUCGUUGAUGACGCUGACCUAACCUUGCGCGAGAUGGCUAACGAAGGGAAUCCUAUGAUGCGCGCAAUGGUUAGAUUGAUGGAACAACAAAGUAAGUUGAUUCAAGAUAUGGCUAGAGGUAAAGUUGGGGCACAUGAGAUUGUGCCAGUUGAAAGACAAGGUGGUGGAAGAGAUCAGGGAGGUAUGAUGAGCUUAGAGCGGUUUAGGAAAUUGAGACCACCUACCUUUCAGGGGGCUGCCAAUCCUAUGGUUGCAGAGGCAUGGCUAAAACAGAUGGAGAAGAUAUUUAUGGCUAUGGGUUGUAAUGAUGAUUAGAGGGUGAUAUUGGCCUCAUUGGUCCUUUAGGGUGAGGUAGACCACUGGUGGGAUGCCAAAUCCCGUCUUUUGAGGGCCGGGUUGCAAGAUGCACCUAUUACUUGGGAGUUAUUUCUGAAGGCUUUUCAUGAAAAAUAUUUUCCUGAACGAGUUCGACAUCAGAUGGAGGCUGACUUCCUGAAAUUGACUCAAGGAACAAAGCAUGUUGCGGAGUAUGAGGAGCAAUUUACUGCUCUAUCUCGUUUUUCUCGUACCUUAGUUGCUAAUGAGGGUAGUAAGUGUAGGAAAUUCUUGGAAGGCUUACAUCCAAACAUAAAAAGACGGUUGACCAUCCUUAAGCUUAAUAAUAAUGCCCAUUUGGUGGAUAGUACGAUUAUUGCAGAGAGGGAUAUAAUUCAAUCUCAAGUUGCACGAUCUAAUCGACAUAAUAACCAGCCAAUAAAACAUGAUAGUAAUGGUAGUGAAGGUGAACAUAAGUGCACUCUAAUGGUGGGUCUAUUCAAGAGAACAAACCAUUCUGUAAUCGUUGUGACAAGUACCAUAAUGGCACGUGUUAUUUAAAGAUAUGAGCUUGUUUUGGCUAUGGACAGAUUGGGCAUAAGGUUAUAAAUUGCCCAAAAAAGCACAGUGGUAACAUAGAUUCUGCCGAGAACCAAAGGAAAAAGCCACGUGUCUUCGCCAUGGUGGAGCAAGAUAUUAAAAAACCGAAUAACGAAGCCUCAGGUGCAUUACCUAUUUUCCAUAGAAAGCCUUGAAUUUUUGAGUAAUUGGUAUUGUGCUUUUCCUCCAUCCUUUCUUAUUGGAUGCAUCGUAGCUAGAGUUUUUAGCCUAAUAAUCACUACUAGAAAAAUAGGCUUUACUGACGCUAAAUUAGUGUCAGUAAUUACUUUUCCUGACACUUAUUAAUUGUGUCAAUAAUGCUCCAGCCAUAAUACACUGACACUAAUUUCUAGUGUCAGCGAUUUUUGUGUCAGUAAUUCAUGUCAUUAUGGUAUCACGAAAAUAAUGACACGAUAGCGUUAGUAUUUAAUGAUACUAUUUAUAUGUCAGUAAUUUAUGAGACUACAGUAUCAAGAGCACACUGACUCAAUAACAUCAAAAAUUACUACUGCUAUUUUAAACAUUUAGUGUCAGUAUUUAGUGAUGUUAUGGUUCUUUUGGUUAAUAGUAUACUUUGAUUUUAAUUAUAUUUUCCUAUUUGUUUUACAACUGAAAGAAAACUCAAAAUAUAUUAAAUAUACAAAAUCUCGCAACACAAUUGCAUAAGAAACAUCUCAAAUACAUCACUCAAAUUCAUAUCAUUAAACUACAUCAUUGUUUGGAAAAGAAAAAUAUAAAUACUAAAUUAAGUCUUGGACAAGCUCUUAACAACCAAGUACUAAGUUAAGAUUCAACAAAUAUUAACCAACAAAAAGAAGCACAUAAUGUCAUUGAACAUCCACAAGCGGCUUCAUUUUUCUUUUCCCACCUACAAGUACAUAAAAUCAAUUAGUAUACCACAAAAAGUAAUUCUUGAAUUUUUGGGAGAAAAAACAAUCAGGCCAAUUUCAGUGUUCAAAGAGACUAACAAAGAAUGGGGGCAAAAACAAUACAUAGCUCUCUUAGUGCAAGCUAAUUGUAAUAGGUAGUAUUGUGAAGAAUAUUUAUCUGCUAAGAAUUGAACUUGAGUGGAUUUUCCUACAGAUCUAUACACAACUCAACUUAAGAAGAAUAAAAAAAUAAAAAAAUAAAAAUCCUAAGGAUUAAGAAAGAUAAAUGGAGAUUUAUUAGUAUACAUCCAAAAUUAGAAACUCAUUAAACAAUCCAGGGGUAAAAAUUGAGGAAUAAGAAUAUAGCGUAUCUCAGGAUAAGACCAAAGACAUAAUAACAGAAACAUUUGAGGCAAACCACUACAAAGUUUUUACAUAAUAACCCAAAGCAAAGCAAACCAUUAUAAAAUUUUUACAUAAUAACCUAGAAACAAAACAGACGAAAAUUGGGCAAGUCCAUAUCCCAAACCUCUGUUAGGAAAAAUGUGUUCAGCAGACUCAUGGCUCCAACAAUAGAAAUUAACCCGUACACAAGGAAACAAAUUAAUUGAUAUAAAAAACAGUCAAAGACAAAGCCAACUAAGAAGAUUAACUAAUUUGGAGAUUGAAUUACAUAGUUAUUUUUACAAAAUAUAGCAUAAGCCCAUUGUAUUUCAUAGUAAGCAACUGCAAAAAUGCCUAGAGGCAAAUUCAUAAAGGAAGAGUAGAUAGAAGAAAAAAAAGACGAGGAAAUAAACAGCUUGAAACAAACAAAUCACCUAACACAUCAUGGGGAAUUGACUUGUUAACGUUAAAGAGCAAAAUAAAACUUGGCACCUUCAUUCGAAAAAGAACAGACGCUUACCCCUUACGGAGAAUGGCUUAGGUUUUUCUUUAGAGUUUCAGGCUGAUUUAUAAGAAUAUGAAGAAGAAAUGAUUAUGGAAGUUUGAUAGUGAUCAAGGAUUGAAUAUUGGGCUUAAAAUACAAAUUGGCAGUGAGGGCUGGUUUUCGAUCAUAAUGUUGAGAGACCACUAAUUCCCAAUACUUGUACCCUCUCACAGAAAAAUCCAAAUUUAAUAAACAUGAACUAAAUCCAGUGUAUUGAGUGUUAUUAUUUAAUGGAACAUAAAAUCUCUGGGUCAAAUAAUUCUAAAGUUAAACCAACAAUAAUCCCAAAAGCUAUAGUUGAUAAGAAAGGCCCAACAGUAUACUUCUAUCACACAAAAUUUGAAGAUAGAAAAAAGAAGGGCCUUUUUGUUUUUUAACUGAAACUGAAAAAAGAUUCAGUAUUAACAAUUCAUAAAUUUUAAAGACGUUGGUUUUCCAUCUUAACACUGAAAACUUGGUGUUUAUAUAUCCGAAUAUAAUUAAGCCAAAAAUUUUAAUUUAUCACUAAAUAGGAAAACAACUAAAUAAGCUGCAUAGUUUUAUUUUCCAAUAAAUGCUUAUAAUAUUUAUUCAUUCCUUACCAUAUAAAAACCUAUCCUUCAUUAUUUAUUUAUUUUUUAUAGGAAACAGAGAAAUUAGUAUUAAUAAGAACAAUAAUUACAAAAUGUCAAAAGGGUGUCCACAAAAAAAGGCUAUUGAAGUAUCACAGACCAAUCUCCAAAUUAGGCAAGCACUCAGAUUCCAAGCUAAUACUCCAAAAAACAAAUCUAACCUCAAACUACCUGAUAAACAGCUCAAAAUGACAUAAUCCUCAACAUUCUUCAGACUAAUUGAUCAUGCAUCAAGGUAUGUUGGGAUCUACAAAUACAUUGAAAAGAUCUUUGCAAAUAACAGUACAACUAGAAAGCUUGGUGUUUACAUUCUUGAAAAUUCUUUUUAUUGCUGACAAUAGAAAGGGAUUCCUUUUUCUGCUUAUUUCCUAAAAAUACUAAUAUAUGCUGCCCCACUAUACUCACAAGUAAUCUUACACAAAUGCUCUUUAGACAAGAUUAGUAUUUGCUACCUUUCACCCCAAUUACAAAACCAUAGAAACUCACCACCUAGACAAAUUUUAAAUUGUCUCUAUAGUUGGCUAUUAAAAACUGCUAAAUUUGUUUGCAGCCAUGCCCAAAAAUUUCAAGAACAUUGAACACAACGUAUUAUAGGUACAAACAAGAUAAAAUGAUGUUCCAGGAUUCACUCGACAUGUCAUCCAAGGUGAUACAAAACGGUAGAACUAUAGAACUAGGACAAAACUUGCAGCAAGAUAAUGGCAAUUUCCCCCUUUCGUGUAAGAUAAUCAUAUUAUUCUUCAAAGAGAGACGCACAAAAAAAAAAUGCUUGUUGAAAACAAGCAAGCAUAUGGGUAUGAGUCUAUUGUUGUUUAUCUGUGAAUCAUGUUAAUAACCAGCCACAGAAAAAUAGUAAACAAUAGUUUUCACACAAUCGAUGCAUAUUAACACAAGCCACGGAUUAUGAUUUCACUAACCAUUGCACACAAAGGUUCCAGACCAAUUUUAGAAGGAGGUUCUACAAGUUACUUUCCUUCAACUACUUGAAAAUCAAUCAUUAACUAAAGAAAUACACAUGAAAUUAGUUUAAAUAAUAGGAAAGGUAAAGGAGACAUUUUAUAAAAACUCUUAAAUGUGGUACUAUGAUUUCCACAGACUGUGCAACAAAAAUAAAAUUGGAUGAACUAUAAUAAGUGAGAAGACAUAUUGUAAUUCUAUCAUCAAAGAAAGAUAAGCUUAAUCAUUUUUAAUUUUUUCUCAAAUAUCCAGUAGUACCUUAAGGUAAUAGGACAAGAUCGCAGAAGUUGUCAUGAAGAGUGUAAAGCACUAAAUAACAAAAAUUAUACUAAUAAAUAAAACUCAAUUUAUUUUCUCCCUCAAUCAAUUGCUUUGAGCUUACUAUGAAUUCAACUAUGAAUUUGAGGAAAAAAUACAGACCUCAGUUUGUCAACUUCUUGUUCAUGAGAUUCAGCCGCAGUAAAUGCAAACCUCCAUUUCUCGUCAAGCAUUGUUAACCUCUACGACAAAUUGAAGGUAAGAAGAUGAACAAAAUAAGUGUAAUGUGCAGGAAAAAAAAUGAAGUCUAUGGGUACAACAACACUUCAAGAUUUUUCAAGUUCUAGUUCAUUUAAAUAGACAUUCCUUGAACUUCAGUAGCAAAGAAAGUACAUUAUAGCAACAAUUUCAAUUCAUUUCAAUCUUUAGAAUUUUUUAUUUUAAAAAAAUAAAUUCCUUCAAACUAGUGAAAGGAAAAUAAAAGUGUGUUUACAGAAGAAAAAUCAUGGAAUGAAUUAAUGACCAUGCAAGUGAGGAAACACAGAAAUUUCUGAAUAAGAGCGAAACUAACCGUGCAAAUGAACAAAGAAAAUGUAAGUCUUCAAGUGCUACAACAAGCAAAACUACCUAAAAACAAGCAUUUUCUUCUUGAAUUAAAGACAAAUCAUGAACUUUGUGCAAUCUCAAAACAUUCAGACAAGCAUGAACUUAGUUAAUUCAUAUCAUAGUCAUUGUCUCUAUUAAAAAUCUUCCAACUAAAAAAAAUAAAAAAAUAAACAUGUUGGUUUCUAUAACAUAAUUUGCCUAUCUUUACAUGAAACAGAGCAAUAAAUAACACUUAAUAAUUAUGAAAUACACAGCCAUUCAAUCUAUAUAAUAUAGAAAUAAAGGAAAAAAAAGAAAAAAAUUCAAAUUACAAUUAAAUAAACAAAAAAUAGAUAUGGAAAAGAAAUCCCACCAAGACUGCACUACUGGGAGAAUUUCUCAACAUCUGCAACAACCCAUAAAAUUAAAAUUAACAAAAAACCCUAAUAAUCAUAAGCUAAAAUAAAACAAAUUUAUUAAUUAAUUUGACAAAGAAAAUAAAAUAUUAAGCCAUUACCAGCAGUUAAAGCCUUAAUCAAGGCAACCUGUUUGCCCUUAAAGUCAUUGAAAAUCUCCUUCACAGGUCUAAGUAUAAGGUGUGGUAUCCCUUCCAUAGCAAGAAAAUUAACUAAUUUCUCAAUAAUUUUAUUCAAAUUCAAGCAAAUGGGUUUUGAAUAUUGAACAAAAAAAAGUGAAAUUUGACCAUAAAAAGAAAAAAAAUUGAUAAAAGAAGCCUCGAUUACGGUUUUGGUCCGUUUUUCAAUUUGAGAAAAAAAAGGAAAAAGGGAAUAAAAGCCUCACUUAGGGUUUUAGCUUUAUAUUAUCUAUUUGAGUUAAAUGAACGAGUUUGUGAAUGGAAAGAAAAAAAAGGAAGAGAUCGAGAAGAGAAAAAGGAAAGAGAAAGGGAAAGAGAAAGGCAAGAGACAGUUUUGGGUUUGAGUUUGGGUUAGAGAUUUGUGUGUAUAAAAGACAGGGAGAUGGGGACAAUUGCUAAGUUUGGGAUAUGUUUUACUUUCGUUUUACAUGUUUUAAAUUCUUAAUUUAGUACCUGCAGUGUCGAACCACUUGAACGGAAGUGAUAGUGGCAACGGCGUGGGGGUGGGCGCAGCCAUGGGGGUUGGGCGCGGCCGUGGGCGUGGGCGUUUGGGCCUGGUCAUUCUCCAUCUUUCACGAUAGAGAAGAAGAAGUCAAGAAAGGCAAGGAAAUUACGCAGCAGCUACGACAUGGGCUCUAUUGCACAAUGGAAAAGGGGAAUUAGGGUUUGGUUUUUUAUAUGUUAAUAUUUUAUAUAACAUUGUAAUUCCAACUCAAUUUUAUGGGGUCCAGUGGUUUGCAAUCUAAACGUAAAAGUUUUGAGUUUUAGAAAUCCCAGGUUCGAGUUAAAAUCAAAACAAAUUUUAAUGAUUCUUUUUAGAUCUCUGAUGCUGAAGUAUCAGUGAUCUCUAAUAUUUAAUUUACUGAUACAUUAGUAUUAAUAAUUUGUGACAUUUAUUUGUUAAAAGUGGAAAAUGGUGCAUAGUUAGGUAAUUACUGACACUUUUUUUAAAGUGCCAGAAACAAAGUGUCAGUAAAAGUCAUUUUUGUAGUAGUGAAUUUCUUUUUUCAUCCAUUGAAUUUCUAUGGUACAUUAGUAGGAUAUGAGGUGUGAUUUUAUAAGGCCAUUAGGAUUAACUUAUGGUUGGAUGGAGUAGGGACUAAUAUGAUAUUUAGUAGGAUAUGGGAUGAAGAUUGCAAUAAAAGUGUUUCACCAGCAAUGUGCGAGCGCAUUGAAGGGUUUUGAAGUUGAAUGUGAAGUGAUAAAAAAUAUUCACCAUCGAAACCUUAUCAAUGUUAUUAUUAGUUGUUCGAACGAUGACUUCAAAGCAUUAGUCCUAGAAUACAUGUACAACGGGAGCUUGGAGGAUUGGCUGCAUUCUAGCAAUUAUGUGCUUAAUAUUUUUCCCAGGUUGAACAUAAUGAUUGACGUUGCAUCAGCUUUAAAAUAUCUCCACUUUGAUCAUUCAACUCGUAUCAUUCAUUGUGACUUAAAGCCUAAUAAUGUGUUGUUGGAUGAAAAUAUGGUUGCUCAUUUGAGUGAUUUUGGCAUAGCAAAGCUUUUAAGUUGAAGAUGAGUCUACGAUGCGAACAAAAACCCUUGCCACUAUAGGUUAUACGGCACAAGGUUUGCUUGAAACAACUUUUUUUUAGUUUAUUUUAAAAUUUCCAAAUUAUUGAUUUUUACGAUCCUCAUAUCAAAAUGUUAUUGAUUAUUUAUCUAAUUAUGAAAUAAUUUGAUUCAUAGAGUAUGGCAUAGAAGGAGAAAUAUGUGCAAAAAGUGAUGUUUACAGCUACGGGAUUAUGUUGAUGGAAACUUUUACCAAGAAAAAACCCACAGAUGAGAUUUUUGUUGGAGAAUUGAGCUUAAAGCGUUGGGUUAAUGACUUGCUUCCUAAUUCAUUAGUGGAAGUUGUGGACAAAAUUCUGCUAAUUGAAGAGGAAAAACAUUUUGCCGCAAAGGAGCAAUGUCUGUUCUCUAUCUUUAUUUUGGCACUAGAGUGUACAAUGGAAUCACCGGAAAAGAGGAUCAAUACAAAAGAUAUUGUUACCAGAUUACUCAAGAUAAGAGACACGUUGAGUAAAAGGAUAGGAAAUUUAAGUUAAUUUUGUUUGCUUUCAUUGAUAGUUACUUUGAAUUCAAGUAAUAAGUGUAAGAAUCGUUUAUCUUUUCUUUUGAUAUUUUUUUCUUGAGAAAACUGUUGUAGUCAUCUUUUUUCAAUGGGCAGAGUUGAUUUAGUUCUUCCAAGAAAUGCUAUUGUUGAUCUUUGUUACAUACGUUUGUCUUUUUUUGCAUGCAUUUAGGUAGAAUAGUGGUCUAGCUGCAGGCUAACAAGUCAAGCUACGCUAAAAGCGUAUGAUUUAAUUUAUUAAACCUAACUUCAAGUUCAAGAAUUGCAUCUCAUUGCCACCAAUGCUUUAGACACCUAUUCGUAGGUUUGUGUCCUCAACUUUGUUUGGAGCAAAAGUUCCAGUCCCAUGGAGGCUCAAAUAUUUCUCUCCUACGUCCCGAACACGCUAAAUUCAUCAGCCUCUUGAACCCUCUCCUGAGGGCGCCUUCUGUCCUCUGUUUUCUGUUUCCAUACACAAAUAGCAAAAAGAAUUCAGACUGAUAACUGGGUAUCUAAGAAUAUAUAAGAGUGAAAUAAUUAAAAAAAAUUGUGCUUUUUUGUUUGUCGUGUUAAAAUCGUAAGGUAUCUAAGUACUAUGAAAGAGAUUAGUUUACGAAAACUGAAGCCAAGGGUUCAUAAAAAAAAGUGCAUAGAGAAUAAAGGACAACGCUUAUGUAAAGCGACAUAAUUGUAUUGGUAGCACAAUGUCACGUUCAUACAGAGAUCAAGUACAUUAUUUACAGCUGGUAAGGGCUAAGAAUUGAUGUAGCUAGAAUACAAAGAUGAUAUGGUAUGUUGUGCACUAUUGUUUUAUUCUACAAUCAAUCUUGACCCUUGAUGCUUGGCUCUCAAUCUUGUCCAUUGAUCUUCUCUGAUCUCGAAAACUUCAAGACCUUUCAAUCUCAUGCCUUAUUAUUGGUGUCUUCUAUGCUGUUAAUUUCAAAUACUAGCUUUUCCGCCAACUUGCCAAUUAUUUGUUCAUUGGUGCGUUUUGUCAAACAGUGUGGAUACUUAUACCAAACGCUUUCUGUUUUAACUACCCCUUUCAAGCUCAAUUAUCUGGGAAGACACUAAUAAGCUUGUUUCUCAAGUAUAUGUAUCUGAAAAUUAAAUUUUCAAAAUUAUAUUCGGACUCUACAUUUUCUAAUGAACAUUGGUUUGGCUCAUAAGCUUAUUAUACUUGGGCUUGGUAGGAUUAUCGGUCGGUAGAUGAACAAGUGUUAGAGCUUUCGAAUUUAUGCCAAUUAAAAAAAAUCUAUAUAAAUUUUCCACUAGGCUAUUACCACAAUAAACAUUUGGAUGAACUAUUAUUGAAACCUUAUUGAGAAGUAGGACAUGUCGCAUACCAAUGCACUGACAUAUCUUCAAAUAGUGGUAACUCCACACAACAUGGCACAAUAAAUUAAGAGUUAUAUAGAUAAAAUCUUUCACUCUUUGGUAAUCAUCAAUGUCGGCAUGACAAUGCGUCCCACAAAUAUGGCUCCUUAUCAAAAUUCAUAAAUCAAAACAAAAUAGAGAAUCAUAUUUGUUCCAGAUUGUAGUGAUGGUUGUUGAUGCACUCACAAUUUACAAUUUUAUUUAAUAUCUUCAAAUUCGCAUUUUAAAAUGCCCAAAUGUUUGUGUAUACAUAAUUAGAUAAAAUCUUUCAUUCUUUGGUAAUCAUCAAUUUCACUAUUAUUCGCUUUAUUAUGUUUGUUUCUUGCAGUAUGUUAAAAGAUUAUGUUGUGAAUUUGUUUUACAGGCCGCCCGUAAGUCUGCGCCCACUGUUGUGAAUUUGUGUAUACAUAAUUAGUAAUCGAUUCUCAAGCACGGACAUUUAAAAGCACUGCCGAAAGACAAAAUUUUAAUUUACUAUUUUUUGUCUUUUAAUUUUCUUUAAGUUUUAAUGAUUCCGCAUUUUAAAAUCCUGUGGAACGUGUAUGUAAAAUUCUUUUAUCUUUUAGAGGAAAACGGGCAAGAGAAGAAUAUUUGGCAAAGGAAUUGCAACCGCAUUUGGAGCUAUAUUUAAUUUUGUCUUUUAAGUCUUUUACACUUGUUUUUGUUAUUGAUGUUAGCUUGGAUGUGUGUGCGUGUGCGACUGAAUUCAACUUACAUGCUAUUGAUGCAGCCACCAAAAAGGGGUGGUCCAUCAUCAAUCAACAAGGUUUAUUAUUAUUUUCAUAUGGAUUUUCUUAAUUAUAAAUAAUACUAAUGCUAUUUCAUAGUUAUAAAUAUAUUAGAAUUAAUCGAAAUCAUUUUUUAGUGUGGCAUUGCCAAACUACCUUUUUUUAUAAGUAAUUACUACUUUCACAUUAAGAAAAAUACUCCUAUUUUUAGGGAAAAAUCAAGUACUUGUAGUUGUGAAAACUUGAGCUCACUCGCGUAUGAUAAAUCUUCAUAUUAAUUACAUAAAUAUCCUCUAAAAUUUUAAAUUAACUAUUCAAAAUUCGAUGUUAUACGGGUAUUUCAUUUAUUUGAGUAGGGGUUAGGGGUCAAUUGGAUACAAAUUCAAAAUUAUCCUUACUUGAGAAGGUGAUAAAAAUUGGGGAUUUAAUUUGGAUGUCAUUAGCUACAAAUAUUAAAUUCAUACAUUUAAUUCAAAAUUGGAGGGUUGAUAUAUGCGCAUCAUCGUGCACGUUAUAGUGACACUGCGUCACCAUCCCACAACCUCUCCAAUGAAAAAUUAACACGUUUCUCGUGUGCAUUUGAUCAGAAUCCUGAAAAUUAAUCACAAAAUUGUACUUUUAUUAUAAAAAGAAUAAAGAAACUCCUGAAAAAAAAAUACUUACAUAAAUGGUUUGAAAAUUCUAGAUUUCAAGUUGUCUAUAUUAGCUUGAUAUUUUUAUAAAUAGUCAUCCUCUCAAAAAAAUUCCAUCAAAAUAUAUAUUUUAAUUUUAUGUUAAUUCAUAAACAUGAAAAAAUCAUUUCAUAAUUAAUUAAAACAUAAUUUAUUGUUUCUCAAAAAAGGUAGAACUUAGUGAUAAGAAAAAAGUAUCUCAAAUAUAUGUAAAAAAAAAAAAAAUCUUGGUUGGUUGGAAUGAUUGAAUUUGCUUUUCUUUUUCUUUUUUAAGAAUUAAGACAAUCGGAUUGAUUGAGUAAUAAUAAUAUAUAUUUAUUUGGAGGUAGGCUUUCGUCUCAUGCAGAUUGAUUAGAGAGAAAACAAAACAAUUUUAAGCUCGUUAGAUUCGAAGCUGCUUACCUGUCGUGUGGGGAUCACUUCCGUGUCUUAUUUUUCUAAAAAAGUCUGGACCAUUGGAUUUAUGUGAAUCGUACUGAACAUUGGAAUUGAUGUAUAAGAAAAAAAUUUUGUAGUCGUUUAAGGAAAAAAAUUAUUCAAUUGGGAAUUUUUUUCCUUUAAUUUUUGUUGUACUUGAUUGAGAUUUCUCCUUAGUCCCUACAGUUUUAAGUUUGGAAACCGUAGGAUUAGUAAUUUCGUACUUCCUUUGCAAGCUGAGUAUAAGGAUGAAAUUCUUUUAAGAAAUUAAAAAAGAUAAAAAAAAGCAUACCAAUAGGCAAUUAUAAAUAACCACAAAUAAAUAUAAACAAAAUGUUUAUGACGUAAAUUAAACAUGCUCAAUUAUUUUCUUUUAUUUUCUGCUCGGAAACCCAUAAAUGCACUAAUCCAGUAUUACUAAUUUCAGACAGAAAAAUUUGAAUUUAACCGGUAUACAUUUCUACAAACCAAACAAGGCUAUUAUUUUUAUUAUUAUUUUUUUUUUUUUAUAAAUUACUAUUUUAAUUUUUCACUUUUUAUUGGGUUGCUUAACAGAUUAGUGAAGUUGGUGGUCGUUGAUGCACUCACAAGGUACAAUUUUAUUUUAGAAAUUGAAAUUUCGUAUUUUAAAAUGCAGGCACAUUAUGUAUGCAUAAUUAUUGAUUUUCAUAUGUGGGUGUUUUGAAAUAUUGCUAAAAGACCAAACUUUAAUAAACUAUUUUUGAUCUUUUUUUUUCCUUUGUACCUAAAGUUAGAGUGAUAUCCGCAUUUUAAAUUCAUGUGGACCAAAAGCUAAUGUAUGGACAAAAUUAUUUUAUUUUUCCGAGAAAAAUGGGUAAGAGAAGAAGAUUUUUCUCUUGAAAAAGAAAAACUAAUACGUUGCAAGCAUAGGAAAGAGGCUAGUGUGUUUGGAUUUGAAUUUAGUAUUGAGUUCAAUUUUAUGCUAAGCUCUUUUAUAAUACUGCGAUUAGGGAGCCCUUAAGUUACAUGUAAUAUAACUUACACUCGCUCACUUAAAUAGUGGGUGGGUUGGGGGCCCACUCACUGUUCAUGUGAGUGAGUGUAAGUUCCAUUAUAUGUAAUUUAGCACUUGCCUUGCGAUUAAUAAGCUCAGGAUUUGCUUUUGCUUUUACUUCAAGUAAAAGAAAGAGGAAACCUUUUGUUUUUUGUUUGAUUUUUGACUAUAUAUGUUACCUAUAUAGAGAGUUGAGAUGGCUGCCUUAAGUGAUGGUGAUAAAAAGAUUAAGCAGCGCACACAAUCUUACUAUCGUCCAGACUGUCCAGUGAUAGACUCUAGUUUUUUGGUUACAUUAGCUUUAGUGGAAAGAAGGGCCAAUUUAACAAAGACUAGAUUUGGUGGCUUGUUGUAAUGCUUAUUCUCAGGGAAUCUAAGGUUAUAAGAUGAUUGAAUGAUCUUCUAUGAUUGUGAGCAGUAUAUUAUAAUUGAAGAGAGCUUGGGCUCCUAUGAUGUAUAACAAUAACACAUUACUAUGAUUGAGAAAACUCAGUUACAAUAAACUCUUCAUUUAUUCAUUGCUGAGAUUGAAUGGCAAAUAGAGAAUAGAAUGAAGCAGAGGAAUCUCAUUGCCUGUAAAAUUGAGCCUAUUUAAUAUUACUUGUAGUUUUUAUUGUAAAAUAUACAGGUAUGACCAUGAUCAGAUGCUUUUUUUAAAAACAAAUGAGACAUCUUUGAUUUAUGGUAGUUUUAGAGAAAAAAAAAACAUAUAAAAAUUAAGAGGGAUGAGUUAACUGACGAUUACAAUCAUUACAGCAAUGCUGAUGAGUGAUACAUCACUUGAAAUUUAUUUGUCAGUUGCUGUAAUGAUGGAAAAAAACAAUAAACAAUAACAGUAAUAAUGUUCCCUUGCUGAAAUUCAAUUUUGACUUUCGACUCUUGGCUUUUAUGGAGAGUAAAAUGACUUGUAUAUUAUCCUCAUACAAUCCACUCUACAUAAUGAUAUCAUUUUAAUAAGGCAAUGGCUGAUGAUCUCCAUUGAAAAACUUUUUGUUUUAUUUAACUUUUUGGUUGUUGAAAAUAACCUUAAUUAUCAAAUAAUCAGAGAAAGAGUAAAGAACAUUUAACAAAUUUAUGUGCCAAAAAAAAAAGGAGAAAUUGAAGAGAAAGGAUGCUUGCAGAAGUGGGUGUCAAAGAGAUAAAUCGGUCUAUAAGAAUUAUUGUGGUUAUUUUUUUGGUGCCUUGGAGUUCUUUAAAUUAAGGGCCCAGUUUGUCCAUUUGUUUCAGUUAGGUCCUUAUUAAAAAUUAAUUUUAAUAUUGGUUUUCUUAAUUAUAACUAAUACUAAUGAUAUUUCAUAGUUAUAAAUAUAUUAGAAUUAAUCCAAAACAUUUUUUAGUGUGGCAUGGCUAAAACUACCUUUUCUAUUAGUAAUUACUACUUUUGCAUUAAGGAAAAUACUCCUAUUUUUAGAAAAAAGUCAAGUACCUAUAGUUGUGAGAACUUGAGCUCACUCGCUUAUGAUAAAUCUUCAUAUUAAUUACGAAAAUAUCCUCUAAAUUUUAACUAAACUAUUCGAAAUUCAAUGUUAUUCGGAUAUUUCGUUUAUUUGAGCAGGGGUUAGGGGUCAAUUUGAUACAAAUUCAAAAUUAUCCUCAUUUGCGAAGAUGAUAAAAAUUAGGGAUUUAAUUUGGAUGUCACUGGCCACAAAUAUUAAACUCAUGCAUCUCAAAAUUAGAGGGCUGAUAUAUAUGCAUUAUCGUUAUAUUGACAUGUGUCACCAUCCCACAACCUCUCCAAUGAAAAAUUGACAUGCAUCUUGUGUGCUUCUUAUCAAAAUCCUGAAAAUUAAUCACAAAGUUAUAUUUUUAUUAUAAAAAGAAGAAAGAAACUCCAUAAGUGAAAAAAAAAAAGACUUAAACAUAAAUAUUUUAGAUAAUCUAGAUUUCAAGUUGUCUAUACUAGCUUGAUAUUUUUAUAAAUAUCAAGAUUUCAAGUUGUCCAUAGUAGCUUGAUAUCUUCUAAAAAAAUUCCAUCAACAUAUAUUUUAAUUUUACGUUAAUUAAUAAAUAGAAAAUUCAUUUUAGAAUUAAUUAAAACAUUAUUUAUUGUUGCCAAAGAAGGAAGUACUUAGCGAUAAGAAAAAAGUGUCUCAAAUAUAUGUUAAAAAAAAAUCAUGGUCGGUUGGACUGAUUGAAUUUUUUUUUCUUUUUCUUUUUUAAGAAUUAAGACAAUUGGAUUGAUUGAGUAAUAAUAAAAUAUAUUUAUUUGGCAAAUGGCAGGUAGGCUUUCUUCUGAUGCAGAUUGAUUAGAGAGAAUAUGCAGCAAUUUUAAGCUUGUCAGAUUCGGAGGCUGCUUAUCUGUCGUGUGGGGAUCACUUCCAUGUCUUAUUUUUCUUGAAAAAUCUGGACCGUUGGAUUUACCAUUAGUCAAUAGAGAAAUGCUGAUCUUGAUUCUUGAUCAAGAUCGAAGUUUGAUUCUAUCUAACAUGAUAUCAGAUUGCGAAGCAAGCAAAUUGAAAGUAACUUGUUCUAUUUUGAUGGAAGAAACACAAUUUCUAUUGUUCUAAUAAAAAAUUUUAAUUAUACAUAUUUUUCUUUUGCCACUUGGGUUUGUAGUCCAGUGGUGAACUAUUGGCCUUAAAGUUAAGUAUGACUAUGAGGGCAAUGGUUCGAGUGCCCACGAACUCAAACUCCCUCAAUUAAACAUAAUUAUGUGGAGAUUACUUAUAACGUCUUUCUCUCUUGUGAAAUCUGAGUGGAGUAGAAAUAUCCCUUUCCCGUGAGGGUUAUUUGGCUAGGCAUGUACUUUAUAGAAUAAAAAUGUAAUAAUGUAAGUCAGUGCAAUGAUCUACUGUCAUAGUAGUUGUAAAUAUCUAGGUGUAAUACAGUAACCUGAUGCUUAAUCAGUUAAAAAAAAUGUAUAUCUUUUUUUUAUUUUUUUCAUUGUGAUCACUAUAACUAGUCAAAUUUAUUUUUAAAUAUUUUUUAAAAAAAUAUUUUAUUAACAAUGAUAUGAAAAUAUUCGAACCCCUUCUCAUAGUAAAGUGAAUUACUAUCCAACUGAUGCCUUCAAACUGUAAAUUGCAAAUCGUGUGUUUGCUCCAUUACAGGGUGUCUUCAAUUUAAAAUAGAGAAUAAUUUGGUUCUAGAUUAAUCGUGGGUCUAUAUCCAAAUCCAAAAAUUGACUAACUUGAUUUCUAUUAAGUUCUCAACCCUAACACGAAAAAUAGAAGAUUAAAAAUGACUAUUUUGGUUUCUAUUAAUUUGAGUAACACUUAAUAUUUAUCAUACAAUAGUCACUUAUAUUAUCAAAAUCUUGGGUCGAAAAUAUUAGGAUAGGUGAUAAUUGGAAUUAAGUUGUAGAUAAGAUAGAAAUGGAUUUGGAGAGAGAUUGGAAUCCUGGCUAAUCCGGUGCACGUUGUUGCGUUAAAUUCUCGUUGACUUCACGUUGACCGAAGCAUUAUUGGAAGAAACAAGCAAGCUUAUUUUCUUCUCUCAUUUUUUACUUUUGUCUAAAUUUAUUGAUGUGAGGCCUCUGAGAUGGUAAAGUGUUAAAUCUGAGAAGAGUACCCACACACCCAUUAUCCUAUUACUCUUAUUUUAUCACAUGCAGAGACGUCAACGUUUGAUUCGCACGGAAAAAAAUUUGCUAGGAUUGUGAGGGUUGAUGUAAUGUAAUUUAGAUGCAAAGUGUUCACAAGUGCGAUGCUUCGUAAGUGUACUUGAAUCAUUAUAAACUCACCUUAUUUUCAUAGUGAUUAUUUCAUCUGCAUGUGAAUAUAAUCAUAUGUGGAGAUUUUUUUCCUAAAUUAUGAUCUUCUCUGGUAUUGAGGUGUUAUAUUUUUUAAAGGUUAAUGUUAAGUUACAUGCAUGUAACUUACAACCCUCUCACAUGAAUAGUGAGUGGACCCACACCAUUCACUAUUCAUAUGAGAGGGUUGUAAGUUACAUCCUCUUUUAAAUUAUAAUUAUUAUUAUAAAAAAACUGCAACUAUGAAAAAAAAUUAAUAUUAUGUCCUGAAUAUAAUUGUUAAAUAAUAAUUUUGACAAAAUUAAUGAAUAUAUACAGUUUUUUUAUCAUAUAAGUGUAAAAUUAUAUCAAAUUAGCUUUUAAAUUAUACAGUGGCUACUGCUUAUCAAACACUUUAGUGUUGUAACUUUUAAGUUAUAACUGUCUAGCCUUUAACCUCAAUCUCAAACGAGGCUUAUAAAGAUCAAGGAUUUCCUCAUAAAAAUUAUACGUCUUGUGAUUGCUUAUUUAAUUUAUAUUUUCGUUAUUUAUCUUUAUUAAUUAUAGUCAUCUUUUUAUAAAUUACAAUUGGAGAAAGUUGGUUGAUGUUGUUGACACACACACACACAUACAAAGAUAUAUUGGAAGUGCUUAUUAUGUCGACUCGAAGUUGUGGGGAGUUAAUGCAUGUAUUGAUUUAUUGGGAGUGUUUAAAUUAUUUUGUGAUUUACUUGAUAGAUUGAUUGAUUGAAUAUUGUUUGAUUGCUUCAUAUCAAUUCUGGAAAGUUUAUUUCUUUGUGAAAUUUCAACGAAAUAUGUUUUUUAAAAUAAUAAGGGUGUUUUAAGUAAUUUUGAAAAAUAAAUACACUAAUUAGAAUUAAUUAUUAAGUAAUUAACUCGAACUGUAGAGGAUAAGCAAACAUUUAUCCUAAUUAUAUUAUGAUAAAUCCUUUUCCAACUAGAAUUAGGAAACCAUAGAUAUACAGAUUUUUAUUUUUAUUUCCCUUUGCGAAAACGGAUUAGAGAAUUAGAAAACAAUCCUAGUGAGACUAUUGUUAGGUUUAAUAUUUUGUCGAAUUUGGAAACUUUUUGUCGAAUUAGAAAACAUGCGUGGUGAAUAUUUUGUCGCAUGCAAACUUUUUGUUUUAUGCAAAUCGUACUGAACAUUGGGACUGAUGUUUAAGAAAAAAAUUCUGUAGUUAAAGAAAAACAAAAAGGCAUGUUGAAUAGAUUACGAUAGUUUAUUCAAUUGGGAAUUUUUUUUCUUUAAUUUUUGUUGUACUUGAUUGAGAUUUCUCCUUGGUCCUUACAGUCUUAAGUUUGGAUACCGUAGGAUUAGUAAUUUCGUACUUCCUUUGCAAGCUGAGUAUAAGGAUGAAAUUCUUUUAAGAAAUUAAAAAAAAAUGAUAAAAAAGGCAUACCAGUAGGCAAUUAUAAAUAACCACAAAUAAAUAUAAACAAAAUGUUUAUGAAGUAAAUUAAACAUGCACAUAUUAUUUUCUUUUAUUUUCUGCUUGGAAACCCAUAAAUACACUAAUCCAGUACUACUAAUUUCAGAUAGAAAAAUUUGAACUCUAAGCUGCAGUUUGACUCAAAAUGAUGAUCACUGGCUUCGCACCAUUUAACCGGUAUACAUUUCUACAAACUGAACAAGGCUAUUGAUUUUUAUUAUUAUUUUAAUUUGUUUAUAAAUUACUAUUUUAAUUUUCACUUUUUAUUGGGUUGUGUAACGGAUUAGUGAAGCUGGUGGUCGUUGAUGCACUUACAAGGUACAAUUUUAUUUUAUAAUUUCAAAUUCGUAUUUUAAAAUGCAGGUACAUUAUGUAUACAUAAUUAUUGAUUUUCGUAUGAGGGUGUUUUGAAAUAUUGCUAAAAGACUAAACUUUAAUAAACUAUUUUUGAUCUUUUUUUUUCCUAAAGUUUGGGUGAUAUGCGCAUUUUAAAUUCAUGUGGAACAAAAGUUAAUGUUUGUAUAAAAAUUCUUUUAUUUUUUUGAGCAAAAUAGGCAAGCGAAAAAGUUUUGGCAAAUGAGUUGCAACUGAAUCCAAAACCAAUACAAUGCAAGCAUAGGAAAGAGGCCAGUGUUUAGGAUUUGAAUUUAGUAUUAAGCUGAAUUUUAUGGUACGCUCUUUUAGAGUACUGUGAUCGAUAAGCUCAGCCCCGGAUUUGCUUUUGCUUUUGCUUUUACUUCAAGUGAAAGAAAGAGGAAACCUUUUGUUUUUUCUUUGGUUUUCAACUAUGUUACCUAUACAGAGAGACAAGAUACCUGCCAUAAGUGAUGGUGUUAAAAAGAUUAAGCAGCGCACACAAACUUACUAUCGUCUAGACCAUCCAGUGAUGACCCUAGUCUUUUGGUUACGUUAGCUUUAGUUGAAAGAAGGGCCAAUUUAACAAAGACUAGAUUUGAUGGCUUACUAUGUUUAAUGUAAUGCUAAUUUUCAGGGAAUCUAAUGUUAUAACUUAUAAGAUGAUCUCCUAUGAUGAACAACAGUAACACAUUACUGUGAUUGAGAAAACUCAGUUACAAUAAACUCUUCAUUUACUCAUUGAGAAGAUUGAAUAGCAAACAGAGAAUAGAAUGAAGCAGAGGAAUCUCAUUGCCAAUAAAAUUGACCCUCUUUAAUGUUAUAUGGCACAGGUGUGGAGGAAGAACAAGUUACUUGCAGUUUUUAUAGUAAAAUAUACAGGUAUGACCAUGAUCAUUACAGUUAGGUUUUGAUGAUUUCGGAUGCUUUUUUUAAAAAAAAAAAAAUUGUGACAUCUUUGAUUUACGGUAGUUUUGUAGAAAAAAAAUAUAUAAAAAUUAAGAGGGAUGAGUUAAACUGACGAUUACAAUCAUUCCAGCAAUGCUGAUGAGUGAUACAUCACUUGAAAUUUACUUAUUAGUUGCUGAAAUGAUGAAAAAAAAAAACAAUAAACGAUAACAGUAAUAAUGUUCCCUUGCUGAAAUUCAAUUUUGACUUUCGACUCUUGGCUUUUAUGGAGAGUAAAAUGACUUGUAUAUUAUACUCAUACAAUCCACUCUACAUAAUGAUAUCGUUUUAAUAAGGCAAUGGCUGAUGAUCUCCAUUUAAAAACUACAUCAAUUUUUUUGCUUCAUUUAACUCUCUGGUUGUUGAAAAUAACCUUAAUUAUCAAAUAAUUGGAGAAAGAGUUAAGAACAUUUAACAAAUUUAUGUGCAAAAAAAAAAAAAAAAAGGAGAAGUUGAAGAGAAAGGGUGCUUGCAGAAGUGGGUGUCAAAGAUAAAUCGGUCCAUAAGAAUUAUUGGGGUUAUUUUUUGGCAAAAUAAGAACUUAUGCGAUAGCAUUUUUUAUGGGUGCAUAUAACCUCCCUUUAAAAAAAUAUAUAAUAAUUACUGCUUAAUAUAGUAUUAAAUACAAAAAUAUCAAUAUUUGACUACUUAAAUUUAUAUCAUUAGGUCCUUAAAAUUUAAAAUGGAAGAUAUGAAAGGAAAUAUAUAUAAAUUUCAUUGUCCUGGUAAAGGGCCCUCUUAUAAUCUUAUAAUAUUUGAACUUUGAUAGAUUUUUUGAAACAAAUGUACUUUUAUUUGUGUACAAUCAAUAUUUACUCAUUUAUUAUAUUUUAAUUUAUUAACUAUUAAUCAUGUAAGUAUACUUAAUCAGAAAAAUUAUAUCAAGAGAAAAUUCUAAUUUCACGCAAAAACAAAUACCAAAACAAAUAUCUCAAUUUCUAUACUAUUCACUUUCCUGUAGAAUCAAUUAUUUAAAAUGCAAGUUUGUGGCUACAGAAAACUCGCCAAAGAAAGAAGAUAAUAACAAUUGAGCAUUGAUAGCAAAACUAAUGCAUCCAAUUCUUCUUGACUUGAUGAGAUGGCGCCAUAACGUAGACACAAGUACCUAAAUUGACCGGCACUGAGUGAUGUGAAUACUACCAGCCAGUUCAUCUCUUCCAGUCUUGCUUAAUCACAAUCACAAACACCACGAGAUCGACAUUUGCAUUAUAUAUAUCUUCAGCAAUCGAAACACCUUGCAUUACCAAAUAAGCCCGUAACAGACAAAGCAAUCUUUCAUGGAGAGAAACCUUAGUCUCAGUAUGAUCACUGUGUCAUUAACCUACUGCCUGCUUCUUUGCUUGGUUGCUGCAGCAGCAGCAGCGGCAAGCAACAAUAUUACCACAGACCAACAAGCUCUUCUUGCCCUGAAAGAUCAUAUAAUUUAUGAUCCGACCAGCCUUUUAGCUCACAAUUGGACCUCGAAUACCUCUGUUUGUACCUGGAUUGGCAUCACUUGUGAUGCCAAUAGCCAUAGAGUCACAACCUUAGAUAUUUCUCAAUUCAAUCUACAAGGCACCAUCCCUCCUCAACUUGGAAACCUCUCUUCACUCACAACACUUAAUCUUAGUCAUAACAGGCUUUCUGGAAGCGUUCCCUCCUCCAUCUACACCAUGCAUACGCUAAAAUUUCUUGACUUCACUGAUAACCAGCUCUCUGGUUCAGUGUCUUCCUUCGUCUUCAACAUGUCUUCAAUAUUAGUAAUUCGUUUGACCAAUAACAUAUUUUCUGGUGAGCUUCCGAAAAAUAUUUGCAACUAUCUUCCUUAUUUGAAGGCCCUUUUCUUAAACAAAAACAUGUUUCAUGGCAAAAUUCCUUCUGCUUUAUCAAAGUGCAAACAACUGCAACAAUUAAAUUUGCAGUUCAAUAAUUUAUCCGGUGCAAUACCAAAAGAAAUCGGCAACUUGACUAUGCUCAAAGGGAUAUAUCUCCUCUACAACAAACUCCACGGUAUGUUCACAAUACUAUAUAAAUAUUUUAAUUUAUCACUUAUUAUCUUUCUUGAAUAAUUUAGCUAAGAUCUUGUAAGAGAGAUAUUUUGCAUCUACGUUAAUUUACCAGGUGAGAUACCCCACGAAAUCGCUAAUCUUCCAAAUCUAGAGGCUUUAGCGCUUGGAAUCAACAACCUAGUUGGUGUGUUACCAGCUCCCAUCUUCAACAUGUCAACACUGAAGGUACUUAUCCUCAUAAAUAACUCUCUCUCCGGAAGUCUUCCAUCAAGAGUAGACCUUUCACUUCCAACUGUUGAGCAACUUAACUUGGCACUUAAUAGAUUUUCUGGAACCAUUCCUAGUUCCAUCACCAAUGCUUCUAAGCUCACCUUUCUAGAGUUGGGAGCAAACACAUUUUCGGGGUUUAUUCCAAACACAAUUGGUAAUUUAAGAAACCUUAAGUGGCUCGGCUUGGCUAAUAACUCCUUGACAUCUUCAACCUCAAAAUUGAGCUUUCUUUCCUCUUUGGCAAAUUGCAAGAAAUUAAGAUUCGUAAACUUAAUAGGCAAUCCACUGGACGGCUUCCUUCCAAGUUCAAUAGGUAAUCUUUCUGUGUCUUUGGAAACACUUGGCAUCGGCAAUUGCAGUAUUAGUGGCAACAUUCCUCCAGCAAUUAGCAAUUUAAGCAACUUGUUGACCUUAGUAUUACACGGCAAUAAAUUGACUGGACCAAUCCCAACUACAUUCGGCCAACUGCAGAAACUCCAAGGCUUAGAUCUUGCAUUCAAUAAGUUGGUAGGUUCAUUCCCAGAUGAGCUUUGCCAUCUGGCAAGGCUGGAUCAAUUGAUCUUAUUUGGCAAUAAGCUUUCAGGAUCUAUACCUUCAUGCUUAAGCAACCUCACUUCUCUAAGAUCUCUCUAUUUAGGGUCUAAUAAGUUUACUUCUGUUAUUCCCUCAACCUUCUGGAGCCUAAAAGACAUCUUGUUCUUUGACUUUUCAUCAAAUUUCUUGGUUGGUCCUCUUUCUUUAGAUAUAGGAAAUUUGAAGGUGCUUCUAGGAAUAAGUUUAUCGAAAAAUAAUUUAUCCGGUGAUAUCCCAGCCACAAUUGGAGGACUGAAAGAUCUUCAAUUUAUGGACCUAGCAUAUAAUAGAUUGGAAGGCCCAAUUCCUAAAUCAUUUGGUGACUUGAUAAGUUUAGAAGUUCUGAAUUUAUCAAAUAAUAAAAUCUUUGGGUCUAUUCCAACAUCCAUGGAGAAACUUUUUUACCUCGGAGAGUUAAAUCUCUCUUUCAAUAAACUAGAAGGUGAGAUUCCUAGUGGAGGAACUUUUGCCAACUUCACAGCUAAGUCAUUUAUGGGAAAUGAGUUUUUGUGUGGUUUACAAAAUCUUCAAGUCCAACCAUGCAAAGUUAGCAAGCCGAGGACAGAACAUAAAUCAAGGAAAAAGAUACUUCUCAUUGUGAUUGUUUCGCCAUUGAGUAUUGCUCUAACAAUAGCAAUCACUCUAGCUCUCAAAUCUAAGCUGAUCGAAUGUGGAGAAAGAAGCACAGUGUUGUCAAAUGAUAGUAUCUUGUCAUCACAAGCAACACUAAGAAGAUUUUCAUACUUAGAACUUUUACAAGCAACAGAUAAUUUUGCUGAAAACAGCAUAAUUGGCAGAGGAGGUUUCGGUUCCGUUUAUGGAGCAAGACUUGAAGAUGGGAUGAAGAUUGCAAUAAAAGUGUUUCACAGGCAAUGUGCAAGCGCAUUGAAGAGUUUUGAGGCUGAAUGUGAAGUGAUAAAAAAAAUUCGCCAUCGAAACCUUAUCAAAGUUAUCAGCAGUUGCUCGAACGAUGACUUCAAAGCAUUAGUCCUAGAAUACAUGUCCAACGGGAGCUUAGGGGAUUGGCUGCAUUCGAGCAAUUACGUGCUGAAUAUUUUUCAAAGGUUGAACAUACUAAUUGACGUUGCAUCAGCUUUAGAAUACCUCCACUUCGAUCAUUCAACUCCUAUUAUUCAUUGUGACUUAAAGCCUAGUAAUGUAUUGUUGGACGAAAAUAUGGUUGCUCAUUUGAGUGAUUUUGGCAUAGCAAAGCUUUUAAGUGGAGAAGAUGAGUCUACGAUGCGAACAAAAACCCUUGCCACUAUAGGUUAUAUGGCACCAGGUUUGCUUCAAACAACUUUUUUUUUUUAAACUUCAUUUUAAAUUUUCUAAAUCAUUGAUUUUUACGAUCCUCAUAUCAAAUUGUUAUUGAUUAUUUAUCUAAUUGUGAAAUUAAUUUGAUUCAUAGAGUAUGGCAUAGGAGGAGAAGUAUCUACAAAAAGCGAUGUUUACAGCUAUGGGAUUAUGCUGAUGGAAACUUUUACCAAGAAAAAACCCACAGAUGAAAUUUUUGUUGGAGAAUUGAGCUUAAAGCAUUGGGUUAAUGACUUGCUUCCUAAUUCAUUAGUGGAAGUUGUGGACAAAACUCUGCUAAGUGGAGAGGAAAAACACUCUGCAGCAAAGGAGCAAUGUCUGUUGUCUAUCUUUAGUUUGGCUCUGGAGUGUACAAUGGAAUCACCGGAAAAGAGGAUUAAUGCAAAAGAUAUUGUUACCGGAUUACUCAAGAUAAGAGACACAUUCAGUAAAAGGAUAGGAAAUUUAAGUUAAUUUCGUUUGCUUUCAUUGAUAGUUAAUUCGAAUUCAUGUAAUAAGUGUAAGAAUCUUAUAUCUUUUCCUUUGAUAUAUUUUUUUUCUUGAGAAAACUGUUGUAGUCAUCUUGUUUCCAUGGGCAGAGUUGAUUUAGUUCUUCCAAAAAAUGCUACUGAUGACCUUUGUUUAAUACUUUCUCUUUUUUUGCAUGUGUUUAGGUAGAACAGUGGUUUGGCUGCAGGCUAAUAAGUCAAGCUACGCCAAAAGCGUAUGAUUUAAUUUAUUAAACAUAACUUCAAGUUCAAGAAGUGUUUCUCAUUGCCACCAAUGCUUUGGACACCUGUUGGAAGGUUUGUUGUCCUCAGCUUUUGUUUAGAGCAAAAGUUCGAGUCCCAUAAAGGCUCAAACAUUCCUUUCCUUCAUCCCGAGGGCGCCUUCUGUCCUCUGUUUUCUGUUUCCACACACAAAUAGCACAAAGAAUUUAGAAUGACAACUGGGACAUAUAUAAGAGUGAAAUAAUUAAAAAAAUUAUGCUUUUUUGUUUGUCGUGUUAAAAUCGUAAGUACCGAAGUACUGUGAAAGAGAUUAAUUUACAGAAACUGAAGCCAAGGGUUCAAAAAAAACUAUUGAUGUAGCUAGAAUGCAAUGUCAUAUUCAUACAGAGAUGAAGUAUAUUAUUUACGGCUGGUAAGGACUAGGAAUUGAUGUAGCUAGAAUCCAAAGAUGAUAAGGUAUGUUGUGCACUAUUGUUUUAUUCUACGGUCAAUCUUGACCCUUGGUGCUUGGCU